UUUCUUAAUGUCGUUGGAUUUGUCUCGUCGAGAUUUUUUCAAUGAUACCAAUGAUGUCAUUAUCGGAGUUUCGAUGUGUAUUCAGAGUCUUUUUUUUGUUUCUUUAUUUUUUUUUCUCCUCUCUCCUCCUUGUAAUUUGUGAAGAAAGAAGAGAGAAAAAAGUAAAAAGAUAAAUAAAAAGAUCCUGAAGGCACACCGAAGCUCCGGUGACGAUACCUUUAGUACCGUUGAAAAGAUCUCGACGAGACAAAUCCAACGACAUCAAGGAAGGUCAUGAACGGUGACUGGAGUGUGCCACAUUAGUCAUUCAAAGACAAAUGAGCCCUAACAUAUUUGGACGGCUUGUGUGACCCAAUCCGGUCACCGUUCGUGACCUACCUUAGUGUUAUUGGAUUCGUCUCGUCGAUAUCUUUUUAACGGUACUGGUUGUGUUAUCAUCUAAAAUUUGGUGUGUCUCUGUGAUUUUUUUUCCCUUAUUUUUUUUUUUAUUUUUUUUUUAUUGUAAGUUGUGUCAGUUUAUUAUAAAGAAGAAGAAGAAAAAAAAGGAGGAGGAGGGUACAUGUCAUUUUUCUUCUGUCAAAAUAGUCACACAGACUAUAGUAUUGAUCAUUUAAGCUUAUAAAAUGUAUAUGCAUUUUGAUAAAACCAAAGGGUCUUCGAAAACAAAACAAAAUAACAUACGAUAAAGCACCACUAGUAAUUGAAAUAAACCAAACUUAUUUUCAGUCCGAAAGGCUGGAUAAACUUUAGAUUGACAAUUUCAAUUUAAAUUGUACUUGCUGGCUAGCUACCGAACAGAAAGCUUUGUACUGUUCUAUCCCAUCAAGCAGCCAGCCACUUGUACCUGUCUAGCUAGCCUAGGACCACAGAGCAUAACACGGCUUUCAGCAGUAUCCCAGUACGAGAAGCAAUCUGUGUUAACCUUUGCUACACGACAUUACAAAGACGAGCGAAAGAGUUGUUUGUGGAUGGGCAAUGUUUUGGGUCGCAUAUCACUUGCUAUAUUAUAUCUGGAGUGCUAGAAUUUUUGUUGCCUUCUUACUUCUUAUCCACAGCAUAUUAGAGGUGGCUAAAUCACUGGUGACUUGUAGAAAAUUCUCAAUAUGUGGAUGCAGCUGUGCCGUUUGCAUGCCAAGUUGCCUCAACAGAAAGUCCGGUGACAAGUAAGGCUAUCGAUGGACCCCCUCUCGCUCUAAUCCCAAAGAUGAUUUCUUAAAAUUCAAGUUGUUUAGAAUUAAGAUUCCGUAGUUGUAUGCUAAUUAGAUUAUAUUUGGUAAAGCGAUAGUGGUUGCUUUUUAAAUAAUUUUUUAUGUUGAAAUGUAUGCCAAUGAUGUUUUUUUUUUAAAAAAAAUCAUUUUUGACAUCAGCACAUCAAAACGAUCCAAAACAUACAAACCAUAUUAAAUUUUAAUAAUUUUUUUUUUUGAAUUUUUUGAGAACGCGAUAGUUUCUAAGUUGAUAAAUUAGUUGUUCUCUCUGUUGAAGAUGUCUCUGGUAGCUUGGAAAACUCAUAUAGCUUAUAGUUGAUGUCUACUAAGUUGAGAUGACCUGUAUCUAUAAUUAUAAAAAAUAUAUUUUGAUAAAUAUGAAAACUCUCAUGUGUAUAAGUUAAUAAUUUUAUAGAGAAAAAAAAUACAAUGAUAUUUGAGAGAGAUAGACGUUUCUGAAAAUAUAUAUAAUAAAAUAUUAACAAUAAAAAGAUUGUGAAUCUUGAACUUGAUGAAUUCAUGAGGUAUUUAAUUAUAGCUCACGAGUCUUGUUAUUUUAUGAAAAAGAGGGAAGAAAAAGUCAUUUCACUCCUAUAAAUAAUAUGAUAUUUUAAAUUGUAUUUUAUUUAAAAUAAUAUAUAUUAAAUUAUUAUAAAAUACCGAGGAACUCAUGCAUGAGCCUUUUAAAAAUUACCAAAAGACUCAUGUGGGGUCUUGAAAAAUUUAUAAAUAAAUGUUGGUCUAAGAUCUAGGAGGUUGAGCUUAAUAUUAUCCUAAAAAAUUAAAAUAACACUGUUUUAGAUUGAUCAAAUUAACUUGUAGUGAUUUAAGCCUAAGUUAUGCUAGGUUUAAUAACUUUGCUGUUUCAAUUUGAUUAAAUCUGGAUUGUAAUAACCCUUUCCGUAAGAGAACCCUGCGUCCAAAAAAAGAAGUCAUUCAACAGAAUCUAUGGCCAGAUAUAUAAUUGCAAAAGGCAAAAUCUAUGCUAAAUUGAUGAUUUCUAAUCUUCCUACAGUAAUGGUGAGAUCAUCUUUGAAGUUGCUUCAGUAUUGCGGGAAAAUUUUACAUCUUUUAUGUUUAAAAAAUAAUUUAAAAAUUUUAAUUUUUUUAUGUUUUAAAUUAAUAAUUUUUUAAUAAUUUUAGAUUAUUUUAAUAAAUUGAUAUUAAAAAUAUAUUUUUAAAAAAAUUAUUAUCUUAAUACGUAACUAAUGCAAUAACUGCACCACCAAUUAAGACCAUUUUUGCCGGUUUGGGAAAAAAACACAGAGAAAAGAAGAAAACGACAACACCAUCUUAUGGAGAUCCAAAUUAAGGAACCAUGCUAUUUCUUGGAUAUGAGCUGGUGCAUCUUUUUAAAGCAAUUGGCAUCACAUGGAAUUAAUCUUUAGUAAUCCAUCUUGCCUGUGUUCUUUAGCUGAUAUUAAUUUCGAGCAAUUGAACAAUGGAAGGAUGCUUGAUUAGCUUUGCUGGUAUCUCUUUUCCUACUAAAUUGUCGGUUGAGCUUCUUCUUCCUACAUCUUGUCCUCGGCUAAUCUCACGCAGGAAGCCGAAGAGAUGGGAAGCUUUCAUUUUUGCCAUGCUUUAACUCCUGGCUCUCCUUGACUUUCUAUAUAGUAUAGAUGGAGUGCUUCCGCUUCCUGGAGGCCAUUCAAAUUAUAUAUUGAUGAGAGAUGAAGUUUGAGUUCUUUUAAAAGUCCAUUCAAUUAGAUAAUGGAAUGUGAAAGUAAAUGGAAAAAAAUAGUAAAUGGAUUUUCCAUGGAGGUAUGUCCUUAAUUUGUAUAUUCUCUGCUACUCAUCAUGCUUAAAGAUUAUCUUCUAUACAUGACUUGGUUUUGCAUGGUUUUUCCUGAUUUGUAUUUUAACGAAAACUAAUCUGGAGUUCUUAGGUGAUGACUUCAAAAGCCAGGAAUCACAUGUAAUUCCUUGUAAUGUUGUUGAUUUCUCCACAGAUGUACGUACAUGAGCCCUGCUAGAGUUGAGAGCAUUAUAUAUGUCAUGUAGUAUUCUUAAAGGCGCGCACCUCUCUUUAAGAACACUGGAAAAUUUAUUUUUUUGGUAAUAGAUUCAUCAACUUUUUUUUUUUUUUUAACUGGCAUAAUUACAUGCAAAUUAGUAGGAAGCGAGCGCCACAUGUGGAGCUGACGUCUUCAAGCUUUGUAUGUCCUUGCUCGGAAUGGGAGUGGUACAGUUACAUUUAAUCUCCUUUUCUCCAACCAUAUGGUAGCCCGGUCCUUCAUUUUUUUCUUCGGCGAUUCCUAGUUCUCUGCGAAUUAUGAUAAACAAUUCCAGUUUCGAGGAAGUUAUUACUCUCGCUGUCCCAUAAAGAAAAUCCUAUUGUACUUUUUACAUAAAUUAUAAUAUAUAUAUAUAUAUAUAUAUAUAUAUAUUAAAUAUGGUGUCAAUUAUAUUUUAAAAUUAAAUAUAAUUAAGAAAUAUAUAAAUUCAAUUAUUAAGAAGGGAUAUAAAGUAACAAAAUUUGAUAUUUAAUUAUUUGACUUUGUGAUAAAGGACAUAUUUUGAAACAUAGUUCAAAAGAUGGAGGGACUAAAAUAUAAGGUACAUCCGAGCUUUCAUUACUCAUUUCUUCUCUCUCUCUCUCUCCCGCUAGCAACAGAGGAGGAAAUAAGUAGAGCUGUUGCCAGUAGCCACUGGAGUAGCUAACCAUUAAAUCUCCCACCAAACUUCGAUUCCCACAUUAAGUUCUCCUCUCUCGAGCCAAUACAGCAAGCCAAUUUCCCUAUACUGUAUUGGCUCGUUUCAAGCUUCUAACACAUUCUGUCAUGGCAUACAUGUGGAUCACAGGGCUAAUUCUCUUCUUAAUACAAAUCCUAAUACUACUAGUUCCUGAAUGUAGCGCAAAAGUUCCAGCCAUCAUAGUGUUCGGGGACUCAUCUGUGGAUUCAGGGAACAACAAUUUUAUUUCCACAAUUGCGAAGAGCAAUUUUGCACCUUACGGCCGUGAUUUUCCAGGGGGUAGUGCCACUGGACGAUUCUGCAAUGGCCGCCUUCCUCCUGACUUCCUCUCUCAGGCUUUUGGCCUCAAGCCAGCUAUACCUGCCUAUUUGGAUCCAAUGUAUAACAUACUAGAUUUGGCUACUGGUGUUUGCUUUGCUUCUGCUGGAAGUGGCUAUGACAAUGCCACUGCUGAUGUGCUAGUAAGUCUUCCAGUUCCAUGACAUUCUUGAUUCUAUGACGUGCUAAUUUCCAUAAGCUCAUAUACCCUUCUUCCUGGCAUUACAAAAUGUCGAUUUUUUUGCUAAAUCUCAUUCUAGAGAAACAUGUAGUUUGUAUAAUUAAUUAAAUUUUUCUUUGGUCAUGCCUCAUUCAUUUAUAGCUAAUGUUCCUUUUAAGUGGUCCCCUAUUGUUGCUGCCAAUGUUGACAUUGCAGGGAGUGAUCCCUUUAUGGCAAGAGCUGGAGAACUACAAGGACUAUCAAAGGAGAAUGAAAGCCUAUCUUGGUGCCAAGAAAGCGAAGGAAAUAAUAACAGAGGCUUUAUAUAUAAUGAGCUUAGGAACAAAUGACUUCUUGGAAAACUACUACACCAUCCCUGGCCGAAGAUCACAAUUCACGAUCCAGCAAUACCAGGAUUUCCUCAUCGGACUUGCUGAGGACUUUGUAAAGAAACUUUAUGCUCUUGGAGCUCGGAAAUUAUCCCUUACAGGGCUUUCUCCAAUGGGGUGUUUGCCACUGGAGAGAGCUACAAAUUUUAUGCAUCCUAACAGCUGUGUGAAGGAAUACAACGAUCUUGCUUUAGAAUUUAAUGGAAAAUUGAAUCAAUUGGUGGCAAAACUGAACGAUGAACUUCCUGGAAUGAAAGUGUUGUUUGCAAAUCCAUACGACUUACUGUUGCAACUCAUCACAGCACCCUCACAGUACGGUAAGUUUGAUUUUUUUUUUGUUGGUUGGUCAGCAUCUGCUAUUCUCUGCCACUGCUAUUGAUGACAUUAAACUAACCAAAAAGAGCUGAUCCCUCAACUGAGUUAAGGAGUAGAUCAGUUAACUACUAACUGUUACAUCAGACAAAAACAAAACAAUGUGAUUUGUAAUUGAGAUUUCGAUCGGUGAUUUCUUCCCUUCCUCUUCCUCCUCAUCCGAUCCGGUGGAACACUAAUCUGUUCAAAGUCAAAUAAUGCUGUGUUUUCAUUGCAGGAUUUGAGAAUGCAGAAGUAGGAUGUUGUGGCUCAGGAACAUUUGAGAUGGGAAUUAUUUGUAAUCGAGACCAUCCACUUACAUGCACAGAUGCCGACAAAUAUGUAUUUUGGGACGCCUUUCAUCUCACUGACAGAACAAAUCAAAUAAUUUCGGCUUAUUUAUUCAAGGAUCUUAAGUCAAAAUUUCUUUGAGUUGCAGAGUGAUUAUUGGUGGUUGUCUGGUUGAAUUUCGGAGAAAAAGGAAGGUAGCUAUAUUCAUGGGUGUUGAAUGAAUACUACGGUGGUAUAUGUAUGGACUCCGGUGUUUAGAGAGAGCAAUGAGUGUGGUUCUGGAUUUACAAAAUUAGAUAUUCAUAGCCUAGAUGGUAUGCAUAUGUGUAUUUUAAGAUGUGUAUAUAUUAUAUUGAAUUACAAAAAAUAUAAAUAUUCUAAUACAUUAUAUAUAUAUUAGCAAAAUCUAUACACUAUCCAUUACCCCGGGAUAAAAUAACUAUUUAAAAAAACUCCACCCAUUUGAGUCCACGGAUAUUAAAUUCGGAAUAAUUCUCAUCCUUCAUAAUAUUCAUCCCGAAAAUAUAAUAAUGUUAGAAAAUAAUAUAAAUCAUAUCUUAAAACUCUACAUAACAGUUUAAACUAUUAGGUUGAAAUGUUUCAUUGACAUGAUAUCAGAACCUUGAUGACCAAACAGUCACGAGUUAAAAUCUCACUAUCCCAUUUAUUUGAUAAAAAUUAAGUAUAAGAUAAUGUGAGUUUGUGUACAUUUCAAGCCCAAAAGGUUUUAAUUUGAGGAGUGUAUUAAAAAAUAAUAUAAAUUAUAUUUUGAGAUCUAAUUUAAUAGAUUAAGUUAUUGAAUUGAGAUGAUUAUUUGACAAAUAAUACUCUUAGGAUAUCCAAAAAUUUCAAAUUGAAGGAAUGGCUUCACAGAAAACAUAGUCUAGAAAUAAAAAGAGUGGUCGUGGUUAAAGACCACUUCUGGCUUGAAAAUAAAAACUGCAGGAUAAAAUUUGUAGUUCGAAAUAUGGCGCCUGACUCUGAGUUGAAAGAACCGCUACUGAUAUCUUUCAACAAUUUACGUUGUAAUUACAUAAUUCAAUAGCUUACAGAACAUUAACAAGUUCAUUUUCCAUAAGCAACAUCUGCAAAGAUUGUCAUGCGUGAUUUGUCUCACUUUCACGGUUAAAGGAGAACCUAACCAAUCUGGCUUCAGUUGCCAAUUUUAUAACACAAGAUCACUGAAAAAUGGCAGAAGUGAAAGCAUAAUUAUAACACAAGAUCGUUGAAAAUUUUCCCAAAUAGAGCCUCGAUCUUUAGGAAUUCAUCCAAUCUAAAAAACAGAAAACCAAUCCUUAUGAAUUCAUCGGAAUAAUGAUUUAAGAGCGCUCCCAUGUCUAUGAAAAACACCAAAUUCUGUUUCAGCCUAAAGAGGAAGAAGUUUUCCAUGUAGUUCAUCUCCGUCAUAAUUUCAUUGCAAAACGAAGCAAAGCCGAUGAAUGUUUUGCUUUAAAAUUUGUUUUCUUACUUGGGAUUAAAGAUAAUGUGACUCAACAGAGCUUAUCAAGGGAACGACUUUAGGAGAAAAACUAGACAGAGGUUGUCUGAUAUUUAUGCAAUCCACAACCACAUUUAGCCUAGAUAUUCCAAUUUCCAACUAUAAGGCUAAUUGCUCCACAUGCUUCAGGGAUAAAUAAAUAAAUAACAACUGCGAUGUAAAAUUUGAAGUUCAGAAUUCUAUUUAGCAUACAGUAGCUUACAGCAUGGAUCCUGAGUUAUUACCACAGUUCACCGACAUAUCAACAAUUUACGUUGUGAUUGGAUGGUUCAACAAACUUAUUGAGCAUUAAAAAGCAAGUUUUCCAGAAAGACCAGCCAAGAGAGGAAGCUUCUCAAGUUCUCAUGCUGAAGUUGUUUCUGAAAUUCUUUUGGCUUCAAGUGUCUUUUCAUAUUCCUCAAUCGACUUAAAGAGCUCUGAAAAAUUUCCUUUCCCGAAUCCUCCACAUCCACUCUUCUGGUAUUCCCUGCCCUUCUCAUCCUUGAGCAUGCACCCCACUCUCUGAAUUAUCUCUAUAAAGAUUGUUGGCCUGCCAAAACCACAACUAAAUAAAUCCCCUCGGAUCUUCCUAGCCAGAGGCCUAACUAAACCUUGUUCAUGAUCCAAAACUUAUUUUAAAGAUGCCCCAUUAACAUUAAGUUUCCAGCACUUAUUUUUAAAAGGAAACAAUUAGCGAUCCCAUAAGAUCAAAGAAAACUUAAUAAGAUAAAAUAAAUGAACUCAAAACUAUCCAUCCUAUAAAGCAAUAAUAAAUUCACUCUAUCAAAGAAGUUUUGGAAAUACCUAUCACCAACAGGCUUGGUGAAAAUCUGAAGCAAAGUCCCUUGAUCAUCUCGAUCAACCAAAAUCCCCAAUUCCUCACACUACUUAAUCUGCUCAUCGCUCAAUACAUCCCCAGCUCUACUCUUCAAGUUCUCAUAAUAAGUGGGCGGUGGCGAAGGCAUAAACUCAAAUCCCUCAACUGCACUGCACUUCCUCAUCUCCCUCAAAGUCCUGAAAAUAUCCUCACUCACAAGCGGCAAAUGUUGCACUCCAGCCCCUUCAUUGUGCUCCAAAUAAGUCUGUAUCUGACUCUUCCUUUUAGUCCCAAAAACCGGCUCGUUCAUUGGCAACAGCACUGUCUCUUCGUUAUUAGCCAAAACAACCGCAUUCAACCCACUCUCGCUCGUCCCAACAUCCUCCGCCGUGAAAUCCGCAAAUUCAUGAAAACCAGUGAACUCCUUAACGUACGUAAUUCAGCGCCGGAGCCAAUUCCGGCACGUUUCCAACCGCAUGGUCUAAUCUCCUGAUCCCGUAGUCCAAAGGAAACGAUGACACUGCCUCGAAUUUAGGCAAAAACCAAUUGUCAGGGCUAGAAUCGUCGUUUUCAGAAUUGCUGUAGCUUACGUAUCUUAAAACGACGUCCCCGUAGAGGUGAACCUCUCGGUGAUAACGGCACCAUUAUCAAGGAGGAUUGGAGAGGCUGACGGCUUGGCGCCGUGUGCCACGCUGGUGGUGAAGGCUAGCUCGGCGUCGUCAACUUCGAUGGCGAUGGCGCGGACUGCGAGGCCGUGUUUGGCGGAGAAGUUGCGGCAGGUUUCGUGGUUGAAGGUGGGGAUGGAGGCGGUAGCGGUGUGGGAGAGGUUGACGUCCAUGGAAGCUAUAGAGGGAGAAUACGGGGCAGUGAAGAGAAAGUUUAGGUCGCCGGAGCGAAGGAGGUAAGAGGCGUGUGUGUGCCGAGUCCCCAAGAGAAACGGCGUGCCGUGUUUGUUGCGUCCGAGCACCAAAAUUCUACGUGGUGGAAACGGUUCACUUUAAAAAGGUCGGACCGUGAGUUGGUUCUAACAAAGUUGGAGAAACCGACUAGCUUGAACUCACCUGGUGUCUCUGAUGUCUCAUUUUCUUUGCCCAUUGUGUCGGCUCUCAAUUUUUCAGGUUUACCACUCUAAACUGGAAAGGGUAUUUGCAGAUGAUCAUGUCCUAUCUAGUCAGAGAAUUCUGAAACAUGAGGACUGUGGAUUUUGAUAUGACGUGUCAAGUUAAUCGUUCUCGUACUUGUCGGCUAGAGCUGGAGUUUAGAAAUGCAAGACGGGGUGCAAGCGGAUUUCGAGGCCAGCACGUUAUCAUUACAGAGUCUGUCUGUAUCUUGAAAGAAAAAUGAAGUGAUACCAACAUGUUUUAUUUUAUUUUAUCAUAUUGUAUCCGCAUUAUCUUUCGUCUAAGAUUUUAAAUUUGAUUGUUAAUGUAAGAGAAGAAAGAGUUAGUGUUAUUUUAUUUUAAAUUUUAGUUUAUUCUUUUUAUUUUUAGACUAAUUAGAAGGUGUUUUGAAGCUAAAAAUAUAUUUAUUUAGAUUUUUAAAAUGUUUUUUUAUUAUAAAAACAAAUUAAAAUUUAAGUUUUUGAGUACAAAAACUCGUACCCCAUCUUUCUGACAAUCAAAAUGACUAGAAAAUGUUCUAGAGGACCAGACGUCACCUUUGUUAAAUUAAAAACAAAACUCGAGCAGAUGACUUACCAUUUGCUUCUUUUUUUUUGAAAAAAAGCAUGGGACCCCAAGCACGCCUGAGGAUUUGCCCAGCAACUCAUAGCUUUUUAAGCCAAACAACGCAUGAUUUCUUUUAUUUAAUUAAUUUUUAAUUGAUAUCUUUUUUUUUUUAAGUGUUUAUGAUGCAAACUGAAGAUGAUAUGAAAAGACAAAGAAAAAAAAAUUUACAUGAAGAACGAAAAUAACUUUGUAUAAUAAAUUAUUUUACACUACCAGAAAAUUGAUAAAUACAAACAGAAAUACCGAGAGAAUAUUUUCGUCGGUAAAUUUCCGAGGGAUUUUACCGACAGAAAUAUUCCCUCGGUAUAUACCGAGGAAAUUACCGCGGGAAAAAAAAUUAAAACAAAGCAAAAAAAAAUUGAUGACGUGUCAUUUUUACCAACGGAAUUACCGACGGAAUAAAUUUCGUCGGUGAUUUCGUCGGUAAAUUUGUUGGUAAAUUGUGAACACUGUUCAUCAUGUUAAUUACAAAGAGAAUCACCGACGGAAUAUUCCGUCGGUAUUUUCCAGAGAGUAAAUCACCGACGGAUUGAAAAGUCGUCGGUAUUAUUUGGCGGUUUUCUGAAAAAAUUCAAUUAAUUUAAAAUUUUCAUUUAAAUAUUACAGACGGAAUCACCGACGGAUUGAAAAAUCAUCGGUAAUUUUUUGGCGGUUUCUGAAAAAAUUUUACGAAAUUGAAAAUUUAAAUUAAAUAUUACCGAUGGAAUUACCGACGGAAUAAUUAAAAAAUAUUAAUAUUUAAUUAUCCGUCGGUAAAUCCGUCGGUAAAGCGUCCCAAUAAAAAGCCUGAAUGUCCUUAUUUCACAAGAGACAGACCCGUUUCUUAUUAUUAUUAUUCUUCUUCUUGUUCUUCUACUUCUUCUUCUUCUUCUUCUUCACUAUAUGUAAAAAACAUCAUUAAGGUAUGUCUUCUUCUUCUUCUUCACUUUAUGUAAAAAAUAUCAUUUCUUAUCUAUUUCUUUCUCUUCUUUUCUCUCCUCAUCUCCUUCUCUUUUUCUCCAUGCUUGGGUAUGUCUUCUUCUUCUUUCUUCUUUUAUCCUCUUAGUUUUUUUUUUUAAUUAAUAUGCUUAAUGAAAUUUUUUUUCUCUCUUUAGCUUCACUUGCAACUACAUUAAGGUAAGAUUUUUCUUUUUUCAUGAUUUUUUUCACUAUUUUUGUUCUUUAUUUAUUUUUAAUUGUUUUUGUUCUUAAUAAUUGUAUAAAUGUUGUUGUGAGAUUUUUUUUUUCAUAUGAGAUCAAUUUUUAGUAGAUUUAUUUAUAGGAUUUUUAAAUUUUUAGCAAUUGCAACUUCAUUUUUUUCAUAUGAAUUUUUUUAGUUGAAUUUAUUUUUUUAUUUUAUUUAUUUGUUGCAAAUUUGUUUUAAUUGAUUUUCUUAUUCUUUUUUCCAAGCAUUUUGAGUAUAUAUUAUACAGUGUUAAUUUAUGUUAAUUUAAUUAUUUUAUAAUUUUAUAAAAUGAAUUUUUUUUUAAAUGUUUUUAAAUAAUUACCGACGGAAGUUCCGUCGGUAAUUCCGUCGGUACUUCCGUCGAUAAUUCCAUCGGUAAAUCCCUCGGUAAUUUCGUUGGUAAUAAAAAAAUUAUUACCGACGCGUCUGUUCCGUCAGUAAAUCCAUCGGUAAUUCUAUUACCAACGGAUUUACCGACGGACAAAACAUUACCGACGAACGAUUCACCGACGGAUCAUUUCCGUCUUUGAUUCCGUCGGUAAUAUAAUUACCGAUGGAAUAUGUGUCUUACACCGACGGAAAAAUUCCGUCGGUAAAACUGUUAAAUCUUGUACUGUUACACACUAUAGUAUUCUUUACAUGAGCACUGUUGUAUUUAUAUACAGCUUAGUAUAACAAACUCUAACAAACUAUAUCGUCCUAUACUCUUAUAAUAGAAUGAGAGAAAAAAUACAAAAAAAUUAUUCUAUUGUAUAAAGAAUACAAAAGAUUUAUUCUAUUGUAUUUACAAAUCUUAUUGUAGCUGGCAGAGUGGCAAGCGACUGGUGUGCAAAUCUUGUUGUAACGUCCUGCAUGUCCUGCUUGGUGUUGGCUCCAACGUCUUGCAUGACAUGCUUGAUGCUGGCUGAGUGACAUGCUUUUGGUGUGGUGUCUAAUAGUUUACUUUAACUAUUUUUAAGAUUGCAAUUAAUAUUUUGGAUGGUUUCUAUAAUUUCAUAAUACUUUAAAAAGAUUAUUGUAACUUAUUUUUAAUUUUUUUUGACAAGUUUUUUUAUAGAUUAGUUGUAUUUGUAUGAUAUAUUUAUAAAAAUAAAAAUCAUAUGUACUUGUCAAUGAGAAUGAAGCUCUUAAAUAAAUAAAUUGAAAUGUAUAAAAUAAAAAGGAUAGUUAAGGUUACAUGUACAUUUAUCUUUUGUUUUUUAUUAGAAAGAUCAACUUUCCAUUUUAGUCCGUAAUUAACAUUCACAACUUUUUUGUAUGUGAUUUAUUAAUUCAUUAUGUUAAGAAUAAACAUCAUCUUUACAUUAAUUACUUGGUUAACAAAUUUAAUGAUACCAUAAAACACAUCCAUAAUGUUCAAACCUUCUUCUUUUGUGUUUGAUUUUAACUUGGAAUCUUAUCAAUAAUAUAGCACAUGUAUAUUGGCAGAGAUAAAAAUUUAAUCUGAACUUAAUAAAUAUCAACCGACUUAAAUGAGUGAGUUUUUUUUAACAAUUACCUUAUAUAAUGGAUAAUAAACAAGGUAUGAAUAUUAUCAAAACCAACCCAAAACUCAAGAUAUAUAUUUGUAUUAUAUAAAUAUUUAUGUACAAUAUUUAAUAGAUACUUUUGUAAUUCAAUAUAAUAUAUAAAUAUCUCAAUAUUGACACGAUACACACAAAUUAUACACACACAAGAUAAAUACUAAAUCUGACAAAUAAAAAGAUUGUUCCUGUUUGGAAAUGAUGAAAAAAUCAUUUUACUAUUCUAAUUCAAGAUGAUUUGUGUCUUGUUGUUAAGUAAAAGAUUUAUUAUUUAAACUUUAAAAAACAAAAUAUAAAUUUUAAUUUAAUUUUCAAUUUCUCAUAAACAGUUGAAAAAAUAAAUACUACAAAGGGAUUUUACAACUACACCAUGGUGGAGUGAAAUAUUUAGAAAAGAAAAAGAAAACCCAAAUAACACCAUUUUUUUAGGAAUCAAUUAUCUUUUAAAUUUACAACGUUUAAUUAUUUAACCUAGAUUAAUGAUCAUUUAAUUGAUUCAAAUUAAAGCAAAAGACAAUAUUUGUCACAAAGAAAGUCAUCAAAAACUGAAUCCGAUGUCUGAAUAUUAAGAAUUUGUUUUGCCUCCUAUUUUUUAUAAUUUUUACUUGUUUUGCAUUAAUUAAAAACACCAUGUAAGUGUUUGAUAAAUAUUUUAAUACUCCAUUGUCCAUUGCUUAAUAGUUAUGGUCUUCAUAAUAAUUUUAAUUUAAACAACACAGCAACAAUAAUUAUAAAAAACUAUGAAACCUUAAGGUGUGUAACUCAACUGGUCAGGUCAGGCGUUUGCUUUCUAGAAUUUACCAGUUCGAGUCCCACAAAUCUCAGAGCCACUGGAGGCUUAUAUGAUACUUAACUUUAGGGUUCGUAAGAUUAAUCGAGGUAUACGCAAGUUAGCCCGGACACCCACAUUAAUAAUAAAAAAAAUAAAUAACCUCAGUCCCAACACAACAUAAUAAUUUAUAACCAAAUAAUUUAUGUACAUCAUAAUGCAAAGAGCCAUGCAUAUUUUAAAUUAUUUUUUUCUUUCUUUACUUUGUUUUGUUAUCAAAAUCUAGGUGUUGACUUAAUUUUGUUUAUUUAAUGAGUUAGACAAAACCUUCAAUUAUUCUCCUCAUAUCAUGCGAUGCGAGGCAAUACUAAUGCUAUCUGGACAAUGCGAUCCUCCUAGUUAGAAAAUCGACAAUGCGAUCCUCCUAGUUAGAAAUUAAUUGAUUUCAUAUUUUUAGUUUGUUAGGAAAAACCUUGCAUAUGUUCACCUAACUAUCCGUUGAUUUAACAUUUCAAAUUGCCUAGUAAUUGAUUUGAUUUCUUGGUUCGUUGGAAAAAUAUUGCCACAAAAAAACCAGGUCACUAACAGGUUUCGGCUUCGUUGAUUUAACAUUGUAAAUAGCCUAUUAAUUGAUUUUAUUUUUCGGUGUUUUGGGAAAAUGCCGCCAUGAAAACAGAAAGACCACUUGCUGGUCUGGUUUUUAACAGCUGCAAACCUGGUCAUGGCCUGUCACUUAAAUCCCGGGUUAGUCUGUGAGACCAAACCGGGUAUAACAAGUCUGCAACAAUUGUGAUGUUUCUUGAAAAUUAAGGAUACUUGUACGACAAGUCUUGAACAAUUCGCAUGUGAUAAGUAAUAAAAAGGCCAAAUACAAAAAAAAAAGCGUCACCUGCGAGUCAAGUAGAGAAACCUAACAGCCCUCUCUCUACGUAAAACUUUUAUUGGUAUUAUUUUUAUAUUCUGAGGUGUCUUCUAUUCUAAACAUCGCAAAAACCCAUUUCUCCGAUUUCUUCUUCAAUUUCACGUAUCUUACUGCCAAUCGUCGAUCUAUAAUUCCACCCACCAUGGCCUCCAACGGAGCUUCUACGGUCAGUCCAGUCCCUCUCUCUUUUUAAUCAUAAAUUAAUGAAAUUCACGACAAUUGUUUUACUGUGUUUUCAUCAAUGAUUACGGUGAUGAGUAAUCUUUAAUUAUGAUUAAUUGCAGCAGCAACAGAGACCUGCAGUGGGCACAGAGAAUAGUUUGGAGAAGAUCAAGCGGCAAUUAGCGUCCGGCUCUGGUAGGAACUUGUUGCAGGGCCCACUUCUUAAGCGAUCUGAAACUGUACGGCAAUUCCCACUUCUUGAAUCGUUUUAAUUUCGGAAAUUUUCUUUUCAAGUUUAUACCCAAGAAUUGCAGCCUGGUUUUAACAGUACCUUAUUAUAGCUAUGACUGAAUUCUUUGGCUGUUGAAUUAUAAAUAAACUAUGACAUUUUUGGGUCUUUAGGAGUUGCCAAGUUAUUGAUUAGUUUGCUUCAUUUUUGCGUUAUUAGCUGAGGAAAUGGAAUGAGCGAUGGGUGAUCUUAGACCCAACUACUGGGAAAAUGGAAUACAAGUGAGUAAAUGUUGCGCUUUUUUUCACUUUUCGCCUGUAAUGUUUCAAUCCUUCAACUUGUGCUGGUUUUCUUGUGCUUUAGAACUAGGAGAAAUGAGCCAGCUUUGAAAGGGACGAUUCUCUUCGAUGCAAAUAGCACCAUCGCAGUUUCUCCUGUAAACUUCAAGUAAGAUUGGUGUUUUUUUUUAAUCUAUUAAGGUUCCUUUGCGUGUUUUCAGAAAUUAGUUUCAUAAUUAAUUAAUUUGAAUGAUUAUUAACACUGUUGUUUCUUUUGGUGUGAUUUAGUGGGCUCCCAAAGUACGAUGGAUGCUGUUUUUGUAUCCUUAGUUAGCCAACCUAUUUGAAUUUUCUUCAGUUGAAAGCAUUGUAGUGUAGGUGAAUUCGAAUUUGGUGAAGUUGCAUGCUUAACUAUAAUUUAGACAUUGGUACUCCCCAGAGAAAAGAUUACUUCCUCUGUGCAGAGACUCCUGGUGCAGCUAGAGCUUGGGUAGCAACUUUACAGUAAGUUUUGCCUUUGGAAUAUGGACUUUUCAAUGAGCUGAAGGAUAUUUUUCUGUUCCCGUACUUUCCUAUGAUUAUAGAUGGUAUUCUUUUACGUAGAUUUGUUGAUUAUUUAUGUAAAGUUUGAAAUAUUGUUCUAGAAAACUAGAAAGCAAUAACAUCCUGUUGGUCCAUGUCCUAGUUUACAUGAAUGCAGCAUUCUAGGAGUCUGUGCCUUUUCCAUGAAGAUGAUCUACAUUGUGAACUACAUUUUCACAAGCCUUAUGUUGGUUAGAGAUUUUGGAAUUAAGUAUACACUUUUUAAAGCAUUUUUUCCCCUCCCAACAGUAUACCAUUUGUUUGAAUACCACCUUGGAGAUGACCAAUUAUUGUAUUUGUUGGAGCUUCUAAGAAAAGAUAUAUAUAAUAAAUGAGCAAGUUCAAUAGAAAGUAAAGGUGACACCAGUCAAAUAUAUGUUCAUGAAGAAAUCAUUUAAGAUGGUCUCAUAAUGUGAAUCUGUCUGAGUUUUCCAUGUAGAUCUAUUGAAUAAAAAGUGCAAGGUUGAAGAGGCAAAAAAUGGCAAACAUAUGGUGUGUCUUCAAGCAGCGAGGGAAAGAAAAUAGUAUUUUAGAAUCGUAUGGCUCAUAUGGUCUUGGAUAGGGUAGAAAUAAGGAUAAUUCUUGUAACCUACUCCAGCUAGCAUUGAUAAUCUUGUGGAUGAUUUGUUUGGUCCUCUGUGACAUUGGAGUAACUUUCAAAUCUGUGUUUCUCCCUUAAAGUACUUCACAUAGGCUGUUUAUUGAAGUCAUUCCCUGUUCAAGUGCUGCCCUAGAAGUUAAACAAUCAGCUCAAAACUCUUCAUGCCAACACUGGCAACAUAGUUGAAAGAUUUAGAAUCUAAGAGGCAAGUUUCUCUAAAGCAUGGGAAUAUAACAGUACCUCCUUUUCUUCAUUUAGGUUCCUUUCUCUACCUGUAAUAAUUUCUUUUAGUUGGUCUAUGUUUUUGUUAAUGAUGUUCAGUAACGAAUUUACUUUGGCCAAUCUUACAAGGAUCAUAUGAGAUCAUUUUUUUUUUACUUUAUUUGGAUUGAUGUUGAAAAUUGCAUUACUAGUAGUUUUUUCCUUUUUUUUUAUUUUUUUUUUGGCUUGCUGAUAACCAGUGCUACUCAGUUGGUUCUAAAGGCUCAUAAAGAGGCUGUGGACUCCUUAAGUGGAAAUGGUUCUGCAAAAUUAGGAACGGUUGCCACUGUAGUUGCUGCAGCCAAUUCAACAGCGCUGGAAUGCUCAAAAGAAAUUGAAGCAGCAAUGCAGAUUUCUUUAAGAAAUGCUUUAGGAAUGAUGAAUAAUAGGACAACUGAUGGUCCAAUGGAUGACAAGACAAUCCUGAAGGUAUAUAAUUUCCAAAAUUUCUCUUGUUCUUUUGUUGCUAUAUCACAAUUUUUGUCCAGAUUAAGGGAAACAUACACAGUAUGCUUUAUAGAUAUUCAAAAUUGGUUGCCUUUUGUUAUUUUUUGGAACUUAAGCUAUAGUGCCCCAUUGCAUUGUUUACCACUUGAUGUUUACUCUUAUAAGACGUGUCAAAUUUCAUGCCCUUUACCCUCUAUUGACUGCAAAUUCUGAGCUAUGUGCUCCGAGCUUGUGUAAAUGCAUGAAGAAGUACUUCUCAGUGCAGAGCAUGUGUGCACAAGCUUGCUUAUGAAAAUUAUGCACUCAAUUUUUUUUCUUUAACAGUGAAAUUGAAAUAGCAAUUUGAUGCGGGACAAAAGAGAUUUAAAGAUGAAGUAAUAAGUUAAGAAGAAGAAGCCUAAAAAAUAGAAAAAAGAGCUGAAGAAGAAAAAGAAUAGGGGUUGGAAAGUUCUCUACAAAUUUUGAUUCAAUUCAUCAAAUCUGUAGAUAUAAAUGCUAAAACCCUAACUAGAACAAAUAAUUGGGUUUAUAGCCCAUUAAAUAAAAUAUCCAAAAAUAACUAAAUUAAGCCCAAUAAAUAAACCUAAAUAAAAUUCAAUAACACAAGAGUUGGCCUAUUCUCCAUCAUCAUAGAUCAUAUAAACGUGUGAACCAUGUCUCGGGUAUGAUGUCCCCAUCAACUGUUCCAGGGUUGGAAGAACUUGAUCUCGUCGAGUAUAGUUCAUGGCGGCUCCAAUAACACUUUCGAAGAUAAGGAUCAAGCUCUUGUGAUGUCUCUUUGGUAAUCCAAGUAUAGUUUGAAUCUAGUCGUCUAUCUCAUAUACUAGGAUUCAUUGAAGUUCAUCAUCCAUAGUAAAAACAACUUGUCCAUCCAAAGUAACAUUAAUAUGUUCAUUUUAUGCCAAAGAUAAUGACAAUAGGGCAAGAGUCUCAAAAGGAUCAUUAGAGAUAGACUGUUGUGUUUUAUAUAUAUCGAGGUUCUUUAUGUAAAAAGUAGAGCUAAUAUCAAAGUUUAGUUUCACUAUUCACUUAUAAUUUAUGACUAGUUUUCAAAGGACAUCUUUCAUUGACAUACUUGUUCCCCUGCUUUAUAUUGUUCCAUUGGUCUAAGAGUUUAUUCCUAUAAAACCGGGGUAGGUAUUUCUCCUGUAAUUCUUGUUUCAUUUUGGUCCAAUUAGUUAUGAGAGGUUUACCUCUCAUCUCUAAACAAUCAACAUCUCCCCAAUAAAGUUGGGCUAUCAAUGAGCAUCAUCUUAGCAAAUUUAACUCUUUUAUUAUCAGACAAGUUAUGUCACACAAAGAAUUGAUUCAUGUUACGAAUCCACAUAUCAAUGACCCAAGGAUCAUGACGAUCGUCAAAAGUGGAAGCUUUUAUUUUGUUAGGGCUCGUGACUUGCUCAUCAAGGUCAUCAUAUGUAGAGUAACCUAAAUGAUAGUUAUAUUGGUGACGCUCAUGGUGAACUUCCUUAUUAGUGAUUAUUGUUGUAAUUUUUACUUGUCUUUGGGUGCUUUAUUCGAGAACUCUCCAGGGGUUCAACUCUUUUAGACAUAUUCGUCAUCUGAGUUUAGAGUUCCCCUCAAAUGACCUUGAGAGUUUCACUAAGGGUUGGGUCCACAGUAAGUGUAAGACUUAAGGUUUGACACUAGAUGAUCAUGACACAAAUGCAUGCAACACUAACUUAGAAAUGGAAUUGAGAUCAUAUAUGAUUUCUACAAGUGAAAUCACAAUACAAAAAUAAAGCUAAUUCCAUUUUUAUUUUUAAUGUGGAGAUUAAUCAAGAACAGAAAACACCAGAGAAAUUUUAAGUAGGCACUGUUAGACCUUCAAGUGUAAAUGAUUAAUCAAAUAAAAGUCACAACUUUUUACUAAUUUCGAUAAGCUCCACAAUUAAUAAAAAAGUCCAAUGACAAAAUUUGAAUGACAAUAUAUAAAGUGGGCAAAUAUAUAAGGGCAGAAGGUCACUGAUAAUUUGAAUAACAAGUGUAAUACUAAUACAAUGAAAUUCAACGUAUUAAAAGGUAAACUUAUUUACUGACUAGAUUGCUUGGUGGGAAGAUGUUGGAAGGUACUAUUGCUAACAUGGCAAAAAAAUGCUGACGUGGCAAUGAUGGCUGACAUGACAAUGCAGUGUGAUGUUGUUGACGUGCAUUGACGUGGUAGUGCGUUGACAUGUCACUGAUGUGGUGGUGUGAUUGCGUGGCGCAAACAUGGCAGUUUGAUGACAUAGCUGAGCGAGGGUAACUUUUUUUAUUCUUUAGAUUUGGGUUGUAAACAGACAAAUUAGUUUUUCUUCAAAUAUUGAUGAUUCUACACAAUUUCUAGGGCUUAGGAACUAUGUUGAAUUUUAAGGAUUUUCACAAGCUCUAAAAGAUCGAUUAACUAUAAUAACAAUUAAAAACCUAAGCUUUGAUACCAAGGUUGAUACGGGAUAAAAAAGAUUUGAAGAUGUAGUAAUAAGCUAAGAAAAAAUAGCCAAAGAAAAAAGCUAAAGAAGAGAAAGAAUAGGGGUUGAGAAGUUGCAACUCUACAAAUUUUUAUUCAAUUAAUCAAAACUGUCUAACAUUUAGAAAAAUAAAAUAUAAAUACUGAAACCCUAACUAGAACAAAUAAUUGGGUUUAUAUCCCACCAAAUAAAAUAUCCAAUAAUAAGUAAAUUAAGUCCAAUAAAUAAACCUAAAUAAAACAAUAACUAAAUUAAGCCAAUAAAUAAACCUAAAUAAAAUCCAAUAAUACAAGAGUUGAGCUAUCUUCCAUCAUCAUAGAUCAUACGAAUGUGUGAAUCAUGUCUUGGAUUUGAUGUUCUUAUCAUACUUGCUAAACAACUUACUGUUAUAACACUUGCUUACUCCCGCAAACAAGAAGUUGUUUUCAAAGUCUUGAACAUUUUUACCCUAAUAUUAUUGAGUGUUUAACAAAUUUCAUGUUAGGAAUAAUAAUAAAUAGUAAUUUUUCUUUAAAAGUCAAAGUGGCUGGCUUUGUUAUGGUCUUACAUGGAAAUUUGUGCCUAGAGAACCCUACGCGUCCUUUUCUUUUGAGAAUCAACUAACUAUCCUUGCACUAUAUAUAAACUACAUGCUGUACAACACCUGCCUAGGCUAGGUUGGCAUGUUUCCAACCUGUGGCUUCCUGAUGCCAAACAUUAAGUUUAUUUGACUAUUCAUUCCACAUGGACUUGGUUUCUAAAGCGAGAAUAUUUUACAGGAGACGCUGAGAGUCAAGGAUGAGGAAUUACAGAAUCUGGCUCGAGAUAUUCGUGCUCGUGACUCAAUAAUAAAAGACAUAGCAGAUAAACUAUCUGAGACAGCUGAAGCUGCUGAGGCUGCAGCAUCUUCUGCUCAUACUAUGGAUGAACAGAGAAGAAUUGUUUGUGCUGAAAUUGAGCGGUUAUCAAAAGCUUCAGAAAAGCAGCUGGAGUCAUCCAUGUUGAAGGUACUAGUAAUCUCGCCUUUUUCAAUGGUUCAUUCUAUAGUCCAAAGGCUACAUAUAUAUAUAUAUAUAUAUAUAUAUAUAUGUAAACCAUAUGGGAUGUGUUAGCAAAAGCAAAUCCCUCUUCAAGACCAUAUUCUCUCUUUCGAGAUGCAGUUUGAUUAAUGUGUGUAUCAUUGCCAAAUGAGAGCUAAUGCCUACGUACAAUUUAGGAUGUCAGUUUCAGUUUGUUUAUGUGGGCUUUCAUUUAUGGAUGUGUGUAGUUAAAAGAGUAUGAAGAAAAGGUUGUGACUCUGAGUAAGGAAAGAGAUCAACUGAUCAGGCAGAGAGACUCUGCCAUCCAGGAGGCAAAUUUAUGGCGUUCUGAGAUUGCAAAAGCCAGAGACCGUGCUCUGAUAUUGGAAGGAGCUGUUGUUAGAGCAGAGGAGAAGGCAAGAGUUGCAGAAGCAGAUGCUGAAGCUAGAAUAAAGGAGGUUGCACAGAGAGAGGCAGCUGCUGUGAAGGAGAAGGAAGAGCUUCUAGCAUACGUGAAUAUGUUACAGGCACAACUUCAAAGGUUUGACAUCUGAUCCCUUCUAACCCAAUAGAAAGAUUACUGCCCCUUUUUUCAUUUUUUGAUGUUUUGAAAUCAUCUUAUAUUAGCCUUUAGGAGACGUAAAUCUGUAUAUUUCACUCUUGGAUUUUGUCAUUGUACUGCUUCUGCUAAUGUACCUCGUCGUUUCUUUUCUGCAUUUUGUCAUCAGCAUUUUCAGCCCAUGAAAGGGGAAAUUAAAAAAAAUAUUGUACUUGAAACUUGCUAAGAUAGACAAAAUUGAUAUACCAUUCCCUCAACAGGCAGCACAAAGAUACAAAGCAAGUUUUCAAGGAGAAAAUGGAGACUCCAAAUGUUGUUGACAGCACUCUUCCCCUGACUAAGCAUGUAGACUUGUCAGAUGAGAAUGUUGAUAAAGCUUGUCUUAGUGUUUCUAGAGCUGUCCCAGCUGCUGGGGAGAAUGUUGUGCACAUGGCAGUGGAUCAAAGCAACCCCCGGCCAGUUGAAGAUGCUGAAUGGAGCGAUAUUCAGGCAACAGAGUCAACAAUAGCUGAUGUCAGAGAAGUUGCACCGGAGAUAGAUGGAAGCAGCCUGGAUAUUCCUGUUGUUAGGGCACCUGUAAAUAAUCAUCAUGAGCAAGGAGCCAACACCUAUCAUCAGGCUUGAUGUUUAAUCUUGCAUGUUCUACAGCGGACAGCAAUCUUUGAAGGUAGGGAAUGGCAUGCUAUUUGAAGUCAAUUAACAGUAAAAUCCUAAAACUUCUCGAGGUAUGUCUUUCAUCCGCUGGCUGGUUGGACGCCAUUGCUUGUUAUAUCACCCUGUAUCUUCAAUGAAGGAUACAUCCAGAGCUUUCCUGGAAUGUAUUUGAGAGCUUCAAAAUAGUCCAUCUAUGAUACGCGUGUACAGAGCGUUGUUCUGAAAUCUGAACCUUCUUGUCCCAACCAUAUAUUUUCCAGUCGUCAUUGUUGUGAUUGACUUUGUAUCUUUGUUAAAGAAUACAGCUGCCCAUUCGUCAAUGUUUUUGAGGGCAUAACAAUAAUCCCUUUUUUAUGUUUGUGUAAAGAGCUUGUUAGUUCUGAGUGUUAAAUGCAUUUUUUUUCUUAAAGAUGUUGAUCUCUUUUGUUGCUUGAUUGGGUUUUUGUUGCUUUUACAUGCGUUGUUACCCAAAGAUUUCCCUCAUUAAAUGAAAUCAUUUAACGAAGCACAUCCAGUUGCACCAGGUGCAGUUUCUUUGCUAGUUUAGCUAAGAAAAUUUGGAUUUAGUUGAACUAUGCACUAAAAGCCUUGGAGUUGGCGCUGCAAUUUGUUACAAACUUGAUAGUGUCGUAAAUGAGAAGGCAAGUAAUAACAAUAAUUUUUUUUUUUUGUAAACUGCAAGAACAAUCUCCCUCCCUCCUCUCUCUCUAACUCUCAAUCUCGAUUUCUCGACCACCAACUAUUUUUGUGAAGGUCAAACCUUAGUAAAUUGAUAUCAGAGCCAUGAAUUCAAGGCUAUUGCAGGAGGAAACAAAAAUAAUAGUGGAAAACAACAAAGUCAGCUUUGGAAGUGCACGGUAGACAAUUGGAUGAGAGAAUACAAGUUCUUCAUCAAGAAUUGUAGGAUUCAUGGAAUUAAAAUAAGAGGCAAUGGCAGGAGCAAGUUAAAUGGAAUGAGCAACUCAAUGCACAAAUGGAAACUUCGAUGGCUACGUACCAUUCAAACAUUCAUGGAUGGAAGGGAAUCAGAGAAGGAAAGAAGGAACCAUGCUAAUACAAGAGGCGUGGUUUGUCUACAGAUGAAUCAUAAUCGAGAUGAAUAUGUGAGAAUCAAUGAAGGCCAUAAUGGUAUAUACAAUGUGGCUUUACCUAAAAUAUAGCUAACUAAAUUUCAUGGAGACAAUCCACGGGAUGGAUUAUGAAAUGUAGAAAAUAUUUCAAGUUUUGUUUCACCGCAGUUCACCACUGGGUUGAAAUAUCUUCACUUUACUUGAAUGCAAAGUAGAAGUUUGGUUUGAAGGCUUUUUGAUAGGAGAUCGACCUUACUAACUGGGUGGAGUUUGUUCGAUCCAUUUGUACAAGACUCGGCAGCAAGGACGAUGUAAUGGAAGAACUCAACAAGUUGGUGUAAGAGAAAGGGGUAUGAAAGUAUGUUGAAAGGUUUGAGGAGCUCAAAUCUUUAAUGAGCAUCUUGAAUCCUUCACUACUAUAAUUAUACUUUAUAUCAAGCUGUAUCAAUGGUCUCGAAGAUGGUAUCAAACUAACAUUGAAGAUAUUGAAGCUUGCAACAUUGAUACAAGCAUUUGAUUAAGCAACGUGGCAAAAGGAUCGAUCUAAACAUGCUUAGCGAGGAAGAAUAUAAUGUUACCCAAAAUAUCUCCUCCUUUCAAUAAUGGAAAACCACCAAGUAACUCAUCUUUCAAAACUCCUUAUAAUGCAAGAACUAAUUUUACAGUAGAAGGAAAACGAUUACAUGGAACCUUACAUGAACAAAAGAGAAAAUUAAGACAGUAUUAUAAAUAUCGGGAGAAAUUUGUAUUAGGCCAUCAAUAUAAUUUGAAGAACUUGAAUAUGAUAAAUGGUGUAGAAAAAAGUGAGGAUUUUCUAGAAGUAGAUGAGGGAAAUAAUAAGCUCAAGAGGAUUAGGUGGAUCAGUAUGGCUUAUCUCUUAACACAUUGGCUAAUACUUAUGCUCAUAAUACAAGGAAAUUAACAAAACGAGAACCUUAUAAUUCUUAUUAAUAGUGAUAAUACCCAUAGCUUCAUAGAUAAACACGUGGUUAUGGAGAUCAAGAAAAGGGCUACCAAAGUCUAAAGGCAACGGCACUAUAUUGGUUAUUCUAGACAAGUUUAUAAUAUAUAGUCACUUCAUUGUUUUAUUACAUUUUUUUUUUUAGUUUAACGUGGGUAUCCGGGCCAGCUUGCGCGCACCUCGACUAAUCCCACGGGCCUUGAAGUUAACGACCAUGUAAGCCUCCAGUGGCCAUCAUAUGAGCAACCACAGGACUCGAACCUGAGACCACAGAGGGAGCAAACCUCUUGAUCCCAAGCUCUUACCACUUAUAACUACUCAGAUGGUAGCUUAGAUAUUCUUAAAUUAUUUUUAUAAGUUUCAUGGUUUGUUAACAACCACUAUUGUAAUUGGCAUUGACAAGGUGUUUACCGAUUUAGUUGUUAGGUGCUAAGUUAUUUAUAAGCUCAACUUAUAACCUCUAGUCUAAUGGAUAGUCUGAAAGGGUAAAUCAUUUUUGGGAAACAUGCUAUGUCUAUGAAUAAUUCUAAAUAUUGUUGUUCAUGACAAUGAUGGUAUAAUUCUAAGUAGCAUUCCACCAUCAAAAUGAGCAUUUUUCAUGCUAUGUAUGGUUAUCCACCUCCAACUACAGAAAUGGUGUGACUAACUACAGAAAUGUUGCGACUAGAGAAUACUAUUAUAUUAUGACAUGAGUUGGAGAAAUGUUGCAGAAAAGAGAACAAAUGAAUCAUAAUUUACAAAGACAGUUAGAUGUGGGAAGGAAUAUGAUGAAAAAAGUGGUUGACAAAGGAAGGGUGAAAAGAGAAUUCAUGGUGGGAUAUUUGAUGUUUAAAAAGUUACAAUCAUAUAUAUAGACAGGCAACUGUGGGUUUUAAAAGGAAUAUAAAGCCGAACCCGUAGAAUUUUGGUCCCUAUAAAGUCAUUCAAAAGAUUAGGGUUCUGGCAUAUAAACUUUUGUAACCAGAAAUAACUAACAUCCAACCAAUGUUUCAUGUUUCCUUGUUAAAGAAGAAGAUUGGAAGCAAUGACAUGGUAUCUUUUUAAGAAUAUAAUUGCGGUUAUUUUUUAAAGUGUUUUUCAUUUAAAAAUAUAUUAAAAUAAUAUAUUUUUUAUUUUUUAAAAAUUAUUUUUGACAUCAGCACAUCAAAAUGAUUUAAAAAUACCAAAAAAAUAUUAAUUUAAAACAAAGAAAAAAAUAAAAAAAAAUUCAAUUUUUUUCAAAAACUUUUUUGAAAUACAAAAAUAAAAAGAAAUUUUAACUUUUCUAGUAAAAGAUGAAUCAAGAAAAAUCAAGGUGAAUCCUAUGGCUAUUUUAGAAAGUAAGAUUAUGAAUAAUAAUAAAAAAAAAAGAAUAGGGUUGUUGCAAUAUGGUUGAUAUUUAAGUGGUCGAACUUGUUUAAGUGGUCGAACUUGUUUGUAAAUUGCAGAAACAAUCUCUCUCUCUCUCCCUCUCCCUCUCCGAACUCUCAAUCUCCAUUUCUCGACCACUGACCAUCCUUGUUAAGGUCAACCCUUAACACAAUUCUACAUUUCUAAAUCUUCAGGCUACGAUGCUAAAAUCGGCGAAUGGAUAGCUCCUUGUCUUUGAUCGUUUGCCACAAAUACUUUCUGUGUAUUCCUUUCCCUUUCAUUAGGAUUAAUAGGGUUAGCCCCACCCUUGUAUUAAAGUAUAAUAAAGGGCCUAUAUUUAUACCAAUCUGUUUAGCUCCUUGGACCAUAGCCAAUCUAUAAGGCCUGCAUGCCAUAAUCAAAGGCAUAAUUUUCUCUCUUCUUCCUUUUCUCUACUAGUUUCUUGACAUGCUGCUCGUGUACUAUUUAACUAAUGUAUAAUAUCCUUUUCUAACUACUAAUAGUGCUAAUACAUUGUGUAGAGUUAUUUAUAAAUGAAUAAAUUUGAGUUUUUCUAACUUCAAAUUAUACAAUUUUUUUAUAAUUAUAACUAAAUUAAUUUGUUUAUUCUUUGAAUUAUAUAAAAUUAUUUUUAUCUUAUCUAGGAUUUCAAGUGAUGUAUAAAUAAGAAAAAUUGAUAAACAAGAUUUGCCUAUAUUUUAAACUUUGUUCUAAAAAUAGUCUACUUUUUAGAAACUAAUAAUUUUGUUAAUAUUGGUAUUUUGUUUAAUUAGAGUUGAGGUGAAUUUACUUAUUAGUAUUUGGUAGUAUAUUAUAAUGUUAGUUUUAUAUUAAAUAUAUAAUAAUCAAUAUAUAACUAAGGAGUUCAUAAUUUACUUAUUAGUAUUGGUACUUACGAUAGAGAAAAGCUUGAGCCUCCCAAAUUACGGUUCUAUAUCAUUUCCAUUGCCUCCCUGUCAUUAUUCUUCCACGCCUGCCAGCCUAGCCUAGCCUAGCCUCUUUGUUAGAUGUAGAGAUAUUAGUUCAUGUCCAAGAGAGGUAACAAAACAACUCUACUUGCUCAUGUAAAAAUAAAUUAGCUAUUUCAAAUGGUUGUUUAAUGGAGAAUUAAUGGCUUUGUGUAAUUUGCGCAAGAGAAAGGAAACAAGGCAUGAGAAAAUUGAGUUUGAAACACACGUGGUUUUAAACCUUGUCGGAAUGGAGAUAGAAUUUUAUGGGUGAUGAAGUCGUGGAAAUUUUAAAUUGAUUGGGUUUUUCAUGGCCAUACCUUUGACGGAUAGAGUAAUUGGGCUUAACUACUUAUUAGUAAAGUGAUAGGAUGAUUUUCACGAGCUCUCUUGUAAAAAUAAGUCUCUUAUUAUAAUAGAGAAUUUUCUAAUAAUUAAGUUAGUAAAUAUAGUAAAACAUGAGUAUGUUAAGCAAAAAAAUUAAUGUAAGAAGUCGGAGAAAACUAUGUGAAGAGGGGAGCAGGAACAAGGUAAGAUCGAGCAAUGUGGCUCUGUAAGCUGAUAUGAUCUACUUUACUGCUCUAAAUGUUUGUGUUGUGAAUGAAUUGUUUACCUAAUAACUAGUGGGAUUUAUAAACCUUGAUUAAGUUAUUUUAUCUCAAGGAGAGUGAAGUAAUAAUGGAAAAUAAUUUUUUUUUUCUUGCAUGUAACAUUUCAAGGAGACAUGUUGAUAGGAAAUAACCAUUAACGAAAAAUAUAGACAUCGCACUAAAAAUCUAUGUAUAUGUUGAAAAAAUGUGACAUUAUACUGACUUUUUUAGAGCUCGUCACUUUGAGUGGCUAUUGGAAAGACUAUGGUGCCAUGGACAGGAUUGCUAAUCUAUGGCAAGUUUGUUUAGGCUUCGCCUGAAUAGAUAUGUUAGCCCAUUUAGGCUUACCCAUAGACUGGUAAGUACUAGUCCAUUUGAGCUCAUGUAUGACUGAAUUUGAACAUGAACUAAACAAGACAAGAAUAAAAUUUUAGUUGGUAUGUGCAUCAUAUAUGCUAGCAUGUGAGUCACACCCAUUAUUUUUAGGUGAUGAAUAUGACUCACCUUUAACUUUGAUAAUGAACUUUUUUUUUUAUGUUAUUAGAUUUUUCCAAGUGUGCCGUGCAUGUAUUGACCGUAGCUACAGUGUGCACUCGACAUUUUUUUUUUUUUCUUUUCUUUCUUUUACUCUCUUUUCUAUCUUGGAACUAUAUGCCCAUUUUUUUGUUCUAGCUGUUUUUGGUGUUGCCGAAUCUAUUUGGGCUAAUGACCAAAGAAACUGUUUCUUUUUCCAUCAAUGAGAGAAGGAAAUAUAUAACCAUCUAAAAAUAAUAUUUUUUUCAGUUGAGUUAUUCCAUACUUGGUCAAUACAACUGAAAAAUUCACCAAAUCAUGGGAAUGCAUGAAAAUGAAAUUCUAAUUUAAAAUAAAAAAAUAUAUAAGAAAAUGAAAACUGUAUUCAUCAAAGUCCGACAGAUUGACCUUACAUAUUAAUUCUCGGAAUGAGACAGGUGAGAAAAAUUAAUGCAUGGAUUUGGACCAUACGUUCCGUUUAUCAAACCAAUCACUUCAUGAAAACUCAAAGCAACAGUAAAUAAUAAUAAUAAUUAAUAAUAGUGUGAUUCCUUGCAUCAGCCAUCAAGUCAUCCACAAAUCAAUCCACAUCAACUCGGUCUGCCUAGUGAUUUUAUUACCCCCCAACCCCAUUGCAUGUAGUUUUUUAAGAUAGCCAUGAAAGCUUAUAAAUCCAACCAAAAAAUAAAAUAAAAGGAAAGGAAAGGUGAAAUCUGCAUAUAAGACACCAGUUCGGUUAAACUUAGAAAAAAAAAAUGUAAAAAAUUUAAUACUAAGCCAUCGUAUGCUUUUAGAGUUUCUAAAUCCCUAAUCAUAGGAAAGAAAAGUACAUAUAUCUACCAUCUACAUUCGUCAGGAACUUGAGCUGGAUCGAUGGCUAGCUCAACCACUGUUCUUAGGUCAUCCCAGUUUCCAUUAACGAAGAAAUCAUCUCCAAUACCUGUGUUCCGAAAGCCCUGGUAAGCUGCUGUAAAUGGAGCUUCAGUUACUGAAUCAUAUUGACCACCCAUAAAAAGGUUAUUCCUUUCAUGGUCAACUUGGUCUAUGGUGACAGGCUUCCUUUCAUUUCUUUGAACAAAUGAGUCUCCAAAACUUACAUCCUGCUCAGUACUGGUUUCAGAUUCAAAGCUGCAUGAUUUUGAAUUUGAAUCACAGUUAAUGGGUUUUUGUUCAGUUGCUGGUACUGCAGCUACGUACUUUUUGUAGGAUGGGAUUCGUUUCAGAAUUCGACAGAGUGUCCAAACCUCCUGCAUAGCCACGAAAAGAGUCAGCUGAAGAAAUUUGAAUUUUCCUUCUUUGGCAACUGAAAUAAAUACUCCAUGCAUUUCGAACUAUUGAAGACAUCGCGGUGUUCCCUAUUGACUGCAGGUACCCUUUUAAAGGUCUCUUCCACAGUUUGACUUCCAAAAAAGAAGAGUACGAAAUUCGAAAAAAGAAAAAAACCCUUAAAAAUUGGUGUCCAUACACUGCUAUUAUCAUCAUGAAUGCACUAGCCAUCACCUCAUUAAUUAAUUUCAUUGAUUUAUAUAUUUCAGCAAUGGGUACGAGUGAGUCUCACACGUGAGAUUAUAUUUAACUUAUGUAUUCAACAUUCUUAUUUUAGGGUAAUUAGUAUUUUUAUGCAUAAAAAAAUUAUAAUUUAAAUAUUAAAAGCAAUUAAAAAUGUAAAAAAAAUAGAAAAUAAUAUAUUCAUAUGUGAUCUCAACCUAAAAAUUUAAAUUGAUAAAUGAGUAAUAAUUUUUAUAUUAUUCUCCACUCCUUCAUGUAUAUUAAUUAGAAUAAAAAUAAUGGGAUUGAAACUCAUAAUUUUUUUAUCAAUAAAAAUUAUGAAAAUUUAACCAAGUUAUUUGAACUCAAAAAGUUGCAGUAAUAGUUUUUACAAAGAAAAUAUCUAUAUAAUUAUCCAUAAUAUAUAUACAGCAUAUAUAUACAUAUGCUUUUAAAAUGCAUCACAUUAACUACAGAUAACGAGAUUAAUAAUUAAUUAGAACUCCCUUAAUCUUUAGGGGGAAUUUCCUGUGGCAGCAUAAAAAAUGGUGAGAAUACUUAUGAAAAACUAUAUUGAUGAGGAAGGAAGUGGAUUAAUUUUAGAAAACUUACAGCUUCUUGCGCAAUGUUCCUAGCGUUGAGGGGAUUUGUAGUCUUCCCGUUUGGUGGAAGGCGAAAUUCAUGCAUCAUCCAAUCAGUUUUUGUGCCUUUUCCAGCACUUCCCCGGUAGUAUACCAAGCAUUUCUUGAGACCGAUGCACUCAUGUGUUUCUUUGUCUGAAUAUAUGGGCUUGUCAAUACCAGUGGCCUUCCAAAAUCCAGAUCGUGUCACCCUAUUAGGUCUUACGCUGUUCCUGUACUUUCUCCCUCUUAAGCAGAAGAAAUACCACUCUUUGUCCUCUGCAGUGCUAACUUAACAAGAAUAAGAAAACAGAAAGUUAGAGCCAAGCCAAUGAUAUUAUCAGAAUGUAGGUGAAUUAAAAUAUGCAUUUAUCUGCUAAUUUAAAUCAUAGCUUUACACUAAAAUCUGAAAGCAGAUUCUGAUCAUGGAGGGAAACAGUGCAAGAUUUAGAUACUUUUAUUUUUUAAUUACAUUUUUAUAUACCUGCUAAUACAGGAGGAAAUUAGUAUUAGAAUUAUGAGCUAACAACAAGGCAAUAUCGCGAUUCUAGCACGUUCUCUGCUUCUCUUCUAGUGUCCUUUUUCGCAAAAUUUUCACCUCAUCCCUCAAUUAUUUUUUGCAAUUACAAAUGAAUGUCUUGCGUAACUAAAAGUAAAUGAUUCAUAUCCGGCCACAUGGCAGGAUAUCGACUGAUAUCCGGUAGAGCGGCAGGAGCGAGUUGCUGCCAUAUAUCCGAUAUCAACAAAUCCACCAUGGGAACCUUUUUAUGCUGCAGUUUCUUAUUCUUGUUGCUUCUUCUUGUCAAGAUGGACAAGCUUAUGUUUUAAACAUUAGAAAAAAGGAAGAUAUAAUGGAUCAGUUUGAGAUAACUGUAGUGACUCCAAGGUUUUUAUGAUCCCUCGAUAAGAGAUCCUUCUAUACCAUCAUAGGAAGGUUAAAAAGACAGCAAAUAGAAAACUUUCGAGGUAGGGUUGGAUUGCCUUGCAAAAAGCAGACCUUACACCCUUUCUCUUCUAUGUACUAACCACGGAUAAAUAUCUCAAAAAACAAACAAAAUGAUUUCAAAAUAUCUAAUUGCUUAACCAGAUAUCGUUCCUUUCAGUCAGAGACCCAUUGAGAUCAUGCUGAAGUUUCGCAGCUUGACACACCUGAAGUACUAUAUUUUAGGUAUGUGCUGUUUUCUUACACAGUAACUCUGCUUAUAUACAUAUAUGUCAUCUCAAGAUAACAUAAUAUGCCUCUAAACAGAAGACUGAUUUUGGAUACCCAAAGAAAAGCUCUAGUUUUGUGCAUAAAACACAGAUGUGAUUGCUCACAAGUGAAAAAUGAAAGAAGAGUACUUCUGUGGUUUCUCUGUAGCUAAUUAAAACGAGAAAGUCAUAAAAGGUGAUGACCUACGUAUAUAGCUGUGCUUUUAUAGGUGAUGGAGGAACAUAUCUAGAUAAACACUAUACACGUAAAAGAGCACAUCUUACUUGGAAGAUCCCAUGGAUCGUAUUUGUAGAUAUCAAUCUGUUUGAUGAGUUCAAUACCAAUUCGUUUCUUUUCCACCUUCCGCCGCAGAUAGAACCCAACAAGCUCUUCAUCUGUGGGGUGAAAUCGGAAACCCGGAAGUAUCACUUCCUCAUCCUUAUCAUAAUUAUCAGAACUAAUACAGCCACUCAUCUUUGUCAUGGCCUCCAUCUCUCUCUCUCUCUAUUUCUUCUCUCUUACACCAUAUAUAAUGAUAUUUAGCGCGGUGGUCUUCAAGUAUAUAUAUACAUAUACUGUGUUCGAUGAAUGCUUGCGUCGUUUGCUUAGUUGGUCAAGGCCAUGACUUUGAUUAUAAAUUAAGGGUACAUAGCUAAUAAGGGAAAAUGAUCAGUCUUGGAAGAAGUCUGCUAAUGAAUCGUCAGCUGAUAAUGAUGACUCAUAGGAACAUGUUACUGGUAAAUGUUGUAGAGAAUCUGGGGUGUAAAAAUUAGCAAGUGACAUGGGACUUUUUUGGAAAGUUUGAAGUCUCAUCAGAUAUUAUACCAAUAAAAGUCCAACUGAAAGAGAUACCCUUUGACUAUGGAAAAUUGGGUUCCUAGUUUACUCUUUGUAUUUAGGAAAAUUUCAACCAAGCCAUCUCAUUGAUUUGGAAAGCAUAUAUUUAAUUUCAUUAUAUAUAUAUAUAUAUAUAAAAGAAAGCCACCCUGGUACACAUAGACAAUUAUGUCUGGAAUUGAGAUGGAUAAAUUUCUAAUCUUAGUCUAGUAGUAAAAACUUGGAAGUGGGGGUUUACUCUCAAAUUUAAACUUUGUGAUUGCUAAUAUAAUAAUCAUUGGAGUCUUACAUGGUCGUUAAUUUCAAAGCCUAUAGAAUUAGUCAAGGUACGCGUAAACUAGCCUGGAUAUCCAUAUUAAUAAUAAUAAAAAAAUUAGCAAAUUUCUUCGUCUUGAAAUCUAAUAAUGCAUCGUGAUAUAAAAUUUUAGCCCCCUUUGUAGACCAGGUAAUUUCCCACUUCAAAACACUAAAAUUCCUCUUGUUCUUUUAUUUUUGUUUUUAUUUCUAUAUAUAUUUAGGGUUUGACUAAUUAUAUACUUGAAGAUGCUUUUCAUUCUUGCUUCCAUUGCUCUAUAUAUAUAUAUAUAUAUAUAUAUAUAUAUAUAUGUACUCCCCCAUGUAUUUCCUGAAGACAACAGAGAAUAGUUAAUUAUUUUGAUAAAGAUCAUGGCUUUAGACUUUAGUGGUUUGGUUACACACUAUCAUAACUUAGAAUUUUAAUAACAAUUGUUCCAUAGCUAUACUAACAUUUAAGUAAAAUAUCAUUUGUGUGUGUGUGUCACCGCACGAUUGCUGAUAAAAAAAUACCGCAAAAGAUAUAUAGUAACGGUGAUUAUGAAAUGCUAUUAUAGUGUGUGUGUGUAUUAUUUUAUUUAUUUAAGUAAAUGUUUUAAAUAAAUAAUAUUAAAAGUUAAUUUUGUUGUCGUGUUCUAUAUUAGAGAUUAGAGUAGGUUGUGAAGUUAAUUUUCAACCAUAGGCAAAUUAAAACGAUGACUUCUACCCAUUCUUUUCUUCGUUUCAAUUUAAUUUUGUGGGCCUGCUUCAUGUGGUUUUAUACGGACUCUACCGAUUAUAUUAUUUCAUGUCAUUGCACCAACUAACAAUUUUAUUUUUUUUCACGGUCAGGAUAUUUUUAUAGAUAGCCUUUAUCAUUAAUACUAAGUUCUUUUUCCGAUUUGAUUGAAAGAAUUGACUAUCUACCCGUAAUUAUGAUAACGAAAUUCACUGCACUUAUUAAUCAAAUUUCAUGCACGUUGUAAUUAAUUCUUUUAUGAUCGGCAGCUUAUUCCAUCAAGCAAAACUAUUGAAGGCAUUGCUUAAACUUUUUUUAUUAUUAUUAACACAUUAACACGGGUGUUUAGCCAAUAAAUCUCAAUUAAUUUUACAGGUUCUGAAAUUAAUUAUCAUAUAAGCCUCUAGUAAUUUUAAGAUUUGUGGGAUUCGAACUAAUAACCUUUAAAAAAUUCAAAAUCUUAGUAAAAUCAAUAAAAAGAAUCAAUGCAUGGAAAUUAAAAACCUUAAUCGAACAAUGAAUCAAGGAGUCAAAGACUGCUCCUAUAUGUAUUGAUAAACUCUACAAUUCCAUGGUGGAUCGAGCUGCACUGGCACUGUGAACUCUAGAAACUAUAAAGUGCUUAAUUAUGUGAGCAUGACUUUAAUUAGACAUAAAACUAUUAAAAAAAAUUCCAUAUAUAUUAGAAAAGUUAAAAUAUUAAAAUAGAUUAUUUAUAGAUUCAUUCUUUUUAUCCAUCAAACUUUUUCAAUAUUUCUUCUCAAAAAAAUCAAAAUAUUAAUAUUAAAUAUAUUAAAAUACAAUUGAGUAGUUAAAAUAACUCUUUUUUUUCAUUGAAAAUUCCAAGUAUUUUGAAUUAUCUUGUAUUGAAAUUGUCAUAUUUUUCAAUAAAAGGAAAAACUUUUCUUAAUUAUCAAAUAUAUCCCUCUACUGAACCAAAUUAACUUAUCAAUACAAAAGUGAUACUUCAAUAUUACGGACUGAGAUACUCUCAACAUCAGCACCGUUGGCAUUAUUCUGCGUAUAAAUCAAGUAAUUAACAGUAAUAAUCAUAAAUGUCAAUAUUUAUCAUUAGCAGCCUUUUCUUUUUCCUGCCUUCGAAUUGUUAAUAGCAUUUAACACAUUUACUUUAGGUGAAAAACGAAUGUAUACGGCGGUUUUCAUGUUUUGAAUGUAUUCGGCGUUUUUCAUGUUUUGAAUGUAUUCGUGAAUCUUUGGUGCUGUAAUAAAGAUUAAUUUUUAAAAUAUUUUUUAUUUAAAAAUAUAUUAAAAUAAUAUUUUUUUUAUUUUUUAAAAUUUAUUUUUGACAUAGUAUAUUAAAAAAAUUAAUUUAAAAAAAUAAAAAAAAUAAUUUAUUUCAAAAGUGGUUUUGAAAUGUAAAAACAAACAGGUUUUUUUUAAAUAUUAAAAAAAUAAAAAAUAAAUAAAAACUAUGUAGUUUUGUUUAAAAAAUAAAAAGUUAUAUUAGGUUUUGAUUGGCUUGGAUUUUAUUAAAUUAAUUUUCAUCUAAUUUAAUUUAAAACUCAACGUAAAUCAAAUAUUAAGGAUAGAAGGUAUUUUUAAAUAUGCUUUUUGUUUGGAAAUGCAUUAAAAAGAUAUAUAUUUUUAUUUUUAAAAUUUAUUUUUAAUAUAAUUAACACAUCAAAAUAAUUUCAAAACAUUAAAAAAAUAAUUUAAAGUUAAAAAAAUUAAAAACAUAAUCAUACUGUAAUACUAAACUGAAACUUAAUGAACUGAUAACUACAUUAACAAGAAGACUAACAAGUAAGAACGUGUUUGGCAGUGUGGUUGCGGGUGCUUUUCAAAUAACUUUUCGUGCCAAAAUGUAUGUCAAUAAUGUUUUUUUAUUUUUUAAAAAUUAUUUUUGAUAUCAGCAUAUCAAAACGAUCCAAAACAUAUAAAUCAUAUUAAAUUUUAAUAAAAUUUUUAUUUAAAUUUUUUGGAAACGCGGGUUAAACCGCGUUCCCAAACGCUUCCUCAAGUGAAUAACACUCCAAACAUUGUUUCAAAAAGACAAAAAUACUUGACUCGUCUUUCUUUUCAAAAUUAAUAGGGCUGGGAAAAGUGACAGGAAGAGAAAAUGAUAGCUUGCUGACUUUCAGACUUUAAACAGUAACAUUAUAAUUGAUGAUAGCUUAAUGUAGUGGGAUUAAUAGAUUAGCAAUAUUGUAGAUUGUUUUUUUAAAUAUUUUUUAUUUGAAAAUUUAUUAAAAUAAUAUUUUUUGUUUUUAAUAUUAGUAUAUUAAAAUAAUUUAAAAUAAUUUAAAAAUAUUUAAAACUAAAAUAAUAUAUCUUUCAAAAAUAUCUUCUAAUGUAAUCCCAAACACCGCCCUUGAAUUAUACAUCUGUAUGGGGACCAAUUCGGAUUUCAUAAGAGAUUUGAAUAGAAAGAACUUUGAAAUCUUCAAUAUGUAAGACGAAUUGUAAACUUCGAAACAUAUAUAUUAUGAUUAAAAAAUAUAAAAUCCCAUGUCAUAUUGAGAGCAUAUUUUACAGCGUGAUAAAUAUUAUUUUUUAAAAUUUUUAAUUUUUAAUUUUAAUAUAUUAAAACGAUAAAAAACUAAAAAAAUAUAAUUUUUAAAAAAUACUGUUCAACUACAAUCCAAAUAUAUAUAUAUAUAUAUACACACACACACCUAACUUUUCCUGGGCCCGCCAAAGAAAAGACUCAUCUUCUUUGUAAAUAUUUUGAAUUUUAUUUUUCCUGUACAUGCUUAUUGGAUAUAUAAAAUUCCUCCAAAACUUAUUAUAUUUACAUUGAUAUUAAUAUUAUAUAAAAAAUUAAUAUAUAAAAUUUUUCAAUGACCCAUUAUAUUUUCAUCAAUAUUAAUGUUAUAUAAAAAUUAUCGUGUAAACGUUUUUUAAGAACCUAUCAUAUUUUUAUUUACAUUAAUUCAUAUAUCAGAGAUAUUUUUUCUCAUUAAUAUAUAUGUUAGGAAUAUUUCUCAUCAAUAAAUAUUAUUGAAGUAUUAACUUAAUUAUUGAAGAGUUUCUAAAUUCAUUAAAGAGAAUUUUUUACAAGUGUUAAGCAUCCGUCUCUAACGAUCAUGACCAGAAAAAAUAAAUCAGAUUAUCAAAACUAAAAAAUUAAUUGAUUAUUUAAUAUUUAAACUUUAUAUCUAAUUUAAAACUAAAAAUUCAAAAUUUUAAAAAAUACUAUUAUUCAAAAAAUUAACUAAUUUUUUACAACAUUGUCAAAUUCUAAACUUCAAUAUGUAUUCAAAUACUAGAAAAUAUUGUCCCACAGCGGUCAAUAUUUAAUUUAGUUUAGUAUUGUCUUUUAUAGCAACGCUAAAAGAUAGCUAGAUAUUUAUGCAUUUUGAUUUUUUAAAAAGGAAUUAUUCAUUAUAUUUAAAGUUAUACUUUUUUUACUAAAAAUAAAACCAAUGGAUAAUCUCUUAAAAAUAUGUACCAACAAAACUAAAUUAUCAUAAAAACUGACGUGUCAAUUUGUGAGUGGUAAAAUGUGAAUUUAAUAAAUUUAAAUAGUUGAUUUUUUAUGAUAAAAGUUGCCACAUAUGCUUUCAUGAAAAUUUUAUAUAAAAAACUAUUUUUUAAAUAAUUAUUACUCUAAAUUUUAUAAUAGAUGUUAUAUUUAUUUAUGUUAAAAAAACAGACAAAUUAAUUAUUAAGAACACUACCUUGGAUGUAACUUAUAGUAUCUCUCAAAUAAACACACAAAUUAAUUUUGAGGUCUGCCAUGCUUUCCAUCAGUUGGUUAGAGUAUUUUGGCAUUGCACAGUAAACAUAGAAUAAAAAAGAAUUCAAGAUAGCUUCGGCACGAAUAUUGAACUCAGUCAUGAAAAGCAUCUACUCAUUAAUUUUGGCAGCUGAAAUUGUUGACCUGGUAGCCUAGUUAGAGUUUCAAGAAAAGCUAGUAAGCCAAAUAUCUUUGAAAUGGGAGUGAGUCAACUAUGACGAGCGUACUAAAAUUGAUCAAUCAAAAAAUAUGAGAACGGACCGAGUCACUCAGUGAGUGACCAUUAUCCUUAAUUUCAAGAAAAUCUAAGUGCACGGGGCAGUGGUAAAAGUUUGGGAUCAAGAAGUUUGCUCCUCCUGUAGUCUCAGGUUCGAGCCAUGUGGUUGCUAAUAUGAUGGUCACUGAAGGUUUACAUGAUCAUUAAUUUUAGAACUCGUGAGAUUAGUCAAGAUUUGUAUAAGCUGGCUUAGAUACCGAAUAAAAAAAAUCUAGUGCAAAGAAUUAAUUACGUUAUUUAUUUAUUUGAAUGCCACCAAACUUGAAUGCAAGUCAACUAAAUAAGGAAAAGAAUUUUCUUUAUUUAUAUACGUGUACAUUAAAAAAACUUAAAUUGAGGCAAAAGUCAAACCCAUGAUUUGAAUUCGAGAGAGGAAAAAAUCAAAAGAGUCUAGUCUUCCUCCAUCACUACAGACAUUAGCUGACAUGAUUGGGCUUCUAUUAUUGUUUGCCCAAUUCUUCCAAAUUCUUAUAAAUAAAAAAGCAACCUUAUUUUGCCCCCCUUUCUUUUAAGCUGACUGUGACUAUGUGAGUUAAUUGAUAUCCCUAAGCCAUCAUACAAAUCGAAACUAAAUUUACUUUUUAAAUGGGUUAAAAACAAUUUAUUUAUAUUUAUCGAGAAUUAAAUUCUCUUAGCAUUAUUUGAGAUUAUCAAAAUUUCUCAAUGCUACCAAGUUUACAAUAGCUAUAUCAAUUUUAAAUUAAUUUAUAAUUGUUGAGUUAAAAUAUUUGGUUAAGAUUUUAUAAAUAGAAAAAAUCUGAUUAAAUAAAAUAGGUUUAGCAAACACGUUAAACUCAAAAAAUUUAGGCUUGGUUAGCCUGAGUCUGACAUAUAAGUCAGAUCCAAAAAGCUUGGACUUGGUAGUUAUAUAACGUGGAUCUGACAAACAUGACAGAUCUAAAAAAGUUUGGACUUGGUAGUCAGCCAAGCCCAAGAUAGAGUGGGUCUGACAAACAUGUCAGCCCCAAAGAGCUUGAACUUGAUAGUCAGCUAAGCCCAAUGAAACGUAGGUCUGGAAAAUAUGUCAGACCUAAAGCAUUUGGAUUCAACCAUUACCAAGUUUUAAGGCUAUGUGCCUGAUCCUAGAUGAUCUUCUAAAAUAAAAGUAUUGAAGGUAUGAUAAAUUAUCAUGCCUCUAUAUCUAGAAUAAUCAUUUGUAUUGAUGUAAUGAUUUUCCUUUAUUUAUAAAUGAAUACAAAGUCUCUUAAGAAACCUAUCAUACAUACUGUCUCAUUAAUAUAUGUAAGAGAUAUUUGUCUCUCAUUAAUACUGCCGAAAGCAGAGGAAUUUCCAGUCUUUUCUUUCUCUGAAAACGACAAGGUUCAAGGGUAUAAAUACCUCUUGAACUAUCCAGGUAAGGGUUCAUAACUUUUAAUCUUGUAAGAUAAAUUCUUACAGAUUGUAGAGCAUUAACCCAUUUAAAAUUCAAGAACAAAAAUCUUUGUUCCUUGAAUUUAAAAAUCUUUUAAGACAUUUAUUGUUUUUCUUAAAUAUAUUGACUUUAUCAUUUGAGGGUCUUUAAACUACUCUAUUAGGACUGUCUUUGUAGGUACUCAAGUAUUUGAACAUAUUAAUUAACCACUAUCCAAAACACUAAAUAACUUGUUAUUUACAUAUCUUGAAUUUUGGAACAUCAUUAGUGGCGCUGUCUGUGGAAACAUUUACAAAAAGUCAUAUAUAACUUUAUUGUUUAAUAGUUUUUCCCUAAUUAUCAUUAUCAAUGGCAAAUAAUCAGGACACUCUUGGAAUAUGAUGAAUUAUUAAUCUCUCUGCCAAUACAAAUACUCCAAUCCCCACACAACCAAUCCUUCAAUAACUUAUAGAACAUAUACAACUCCUUAAAAGCCCAAGUAUUCAAUACAUUAUACACUUAAGAAAAUAACAAAAACAAACCCUAAAGGAACCUACAUCUCCGUGUCAGGUUCCUGGGCCAAAUAAACUAAACUUAUGGCUAAAACAACUCUAAUUAGGAAGACAUCAAUGAAAUAUAGGACUUGGCCAUCUAGAAAACUCUCACUAAAGUCAACUUGUAUCCCUCUAGACAGGUUAAAGAAAUACAAGUUUGACAUGGUCAAGAAGAGCUUAUCCCCUAUUGUCUUCGUUAGAGACAUAGACUCCUCAUAUUCAGAAUAAAAAGCUUGGGAAUAAUUCUUCAAGUUUUCCAUUCUUGUACGAGAGUUUUGAACCUCCUCUCUACCUAUCCUCAGCUCCUCUUUUAACGUCUUCCUUGUCCCUUUAAGCUCAACCACCUCUUUCUUCAAGUUAUUCGUCCCUCUCUCUAAGAAGUCAAUAUAGAUGUAUGCCUUUACCAGCUUUUGCUCAAUUGACUCUAAGACGUAGGUCUAGGCUUCCAUAUGUCCUUAUAGCUUGGAGUAAGCAGUCUUGAGAGAGUUCAUCUCAAUAUCCUGAGCAACCUUUUCUUUUCAAAGUCUGCAUACUUCAAACUUAUUAAUACGAUACUGCUUAAUGAACUCCUUCAUGGCUCUUUUCUCAUUAGCCUAUCUACUCUUGAAGUGGGCACACAUUAUAAAAGUCUAAACAACAAAAGAGAUAAGAUAAGUUACUUUUAAAAUAGCAUAAAAAAUUUAGUUUGCUAUCUUACCUAAAAAGCCAUGUGUCCAAUAAUAGCCAAAUGACACUGAAAGCUCAGGUCAGCUAGUCCUUCCACAUCAGAAUGAAAAAUGAGGAGUUUUUCCAAUGUCUCAAUCACAUCCAACCCAUCAAGUCCCAGCGUGGACCUUCCCUAGAGAAUAGUCUCCAUUAUCCUCCUCUCUACCUCACUUAAAGUGGGGAAAUAAAUAGGGACGUGAUCCAACUUGAGAUUAGAGAAGAUAUCCUCUAUCCUGGGGGGUGAAUGAGCUUGAUUGGAAGACCCAGAAACACUAUAUAAAAGAGGAAUAAUCUCCACAUCAGAAUCUGAUAGGAUGGAGACUCUCCUUUUUUUUCCUUGGCAAAACGGCUUUUAGAAUGACUAAGUUUGGUGUUGGCAUCUUGAGGCCUCCCGAUAGGAGAGAGAGAGAGACCCUUAUGCUGCCUCUUGAUAUACCUCAUCAGUAGGAAGGUCAGUUAUAAGGAUGUAUUCAGGAACAUCCUCAGCUUGGACAGUGGAAUUCUCCUCAUUUGAAUGGAAGACCUAAGUCUUCGUCUUUGCAUCAAUAGUUGAUUGUCUUCAGAAGAAGAACCGUUACUCAAAGAGAGCAUAGACAUGUGACUAGGCAUGAAGGGAUAUACCCACUAAAUUCGAUUCCAACAGUCCCAAGUAAAGACCCUACACAAAGAAACAAUUAGAGAAUGAAAGGUAUUGAAAUAAAAAAAUAUAUGAAAAAAAUUACUCGAAUGUUAUAUUGUUUUUUAGUCAUACAACUGAUGUUAUAUUCAGUAUGAAGGUUGUUCAACCUGAUGCAAACCCUCUCCUCCUUCAGCCCCAAUAGGAGCUUGUCAUUUACACCCACUAGGGGUGUCCUCCAAUAAUAGGUAUAGCCCCAAAUUGGCUAUACCCAUCCUGAGGUCUGGCUAGGCCAUCAAACCUCAUUAUAAACCAUUGCUCCUUUAAUUUUUUAGAGUGGGUGGACUUUCCCCUCGUGGUAUUCUUUAUUGGCCCAUUUCAUCUAUUGAUGAAAGUAAAAAAAGCAAGGGAUUGAAGGUCUUCCUUUAGUGCUACUAAUCAAGGUAUAACACUGCCUAAAUACCCUGACUGUAGGCUCCUCAUUUAAAGUCCUCAAUAACUUUUCAAAUAAGAACAAAAUGGUCUAUCCAUUAGGAUGAAUUUGAGCAUGACUAAGGUUGUAGUACCUCAGAAUAUCCCUUAUAAAUACUUGUAAAGAAAACAAGCAUCCAAACUCGUAUAAGCAUAGGGGGUAGUAAUUAUAACAUCACCCUCAACAUAUUUGUUGGUGAUCUAGGAAAUAUGGUCACUAGCUUUAGGAAUGACCACUUUAUAAUCUCCUAGCUGACUAGCAUUGGCUAGGGUUACUUGGUCCCAAGUCACCGAAUUUUAUGCAUCAUCAGCAAGAGUCCUAGGCAAUCUCAGUUGUCCUAUUAGGUUUGAAACCUCAUGAGGAACGUCUCUAUCCCUUCUUCUAGUAAAAAAAGGUUGAGCAUAGUCACUCUUAGAUCUAUGGCCAAUCCUUAUGGUUGAAGAUCUUUAACGAGCGGUUUUAGUUUCAGGUCUGAAAUUGAAAUCACCUUCAGGAGAUAUGUUUCCUUUCCCUUUUCUAAAAGUCAUAAUGGUAUAAGGAAGAAGAGAUUGAAAGAGGGUUUAAAUAAGUGCAAGAGAAGAAAAUCUGGUUUACCUAGUCAAAGAAAUCCCCUCGGCUGUACAAUUGCUCUUUUAUUGUGAAAAAUUGAAAUUUCUAAGUCAGGGAAUACUGGAAAAAAAUGAUUUGUAAAAGUAAUAAAAGGGAGAGAAGAUAUGAAUGAAUGACAGAUGACAUCUCAUCUAUAACCAUAGAAGGGCCAGAAGCCUGCAAUAUUUAUUGUGUGUCGUCGAGUGGUCUUCCCAAAAUAUUUUUGCUUCAUUUUCCAUAGAAACUCUUUUAAAUCAAUCAACAACGCCUCUUCACAAAGGAAGAAAAGACAUGUACUAACCAGCUAUCUCUCUAAAAAUUUCUUAAGUCUUUAAUAUAAGAUUACAUAUUAAAGGCUUGGGGGCAACUGAUGAGUUAAAAUAUUUGGUUAAGAUUUUUAUAAAUAGAAUAAAUCUUAACCAAAUAAAAUAGGUUUGACAAAUAUGUCAGACCCAAAAAACUUAGGCUUGACAGUCGACCAAGCCCAAGGUAGCCUGGGUCUAGAAACAAGCCAGAUCCAAAGGACUUGGGCUUGGUAGUCAGCCAUGCUCAAUAUAGCGUGGGUCUGGCAAACACGGCAGAUUCAAAGAGCUUGGAUUUGGUAAUCAGCCAAGCCCAAGAUAACACGAGUUUGGAAAACAUGUCAGACUCAAAGAGCCUGAACUUGAUAGUCAGCUAAAUCCAAGAUAGUACGGGUCUCCCAAACACGCCAGAUCCAAAGAACUUGGGCUUGGCAGUCAGCCAAGCCCAAGGCAGUGUGAGUUUGGAAAACAUGCCAGACCCAAAGCAUUUAGAUUCAACCAUUACCAAGUUUUAAGACUAUGUGUCUGAUCUUAGACGAUCCCCUAAAAUAAAAGUAUUGAAGGUAUGAUAAAUUACUAUGUUUUUCCAUCUAAAAUAAUCAUUCGUAUUGAUGUAAUUGUUUCCAUCCUUAUUGUCUCAUUAAUAUAUGUAAGUGAUAUUUGUUUCUCAUUAAUUCCGCCGAAAGUAGAGGACUUUCCAGUCCUUUCUUUAGUUGAAAACGACAAGGUUUGGGAGGUAUAAAUACCUCCUGAACCAUCCAGGUAAGAGUUUAUAACUUUUUAUCUUAUAAGAUAAACUCUUAUAGAUUUCAGAGCAUUAACCCACUUAAAACUCAAGAAUAAACAUCUUUAUUCCUUGAAUUUAAGGCUCUUUUAUGACAUUUAUUGUCUUUCCCAUAUAUAUUGAUUUUAUCAUCAAAGGAUUUUUAAGUCCCCCGAUUAGAACUGUCUUUGCAUGUGCUUAAGCUUUUACCAUAAAUAUGAAAUUAUUGAAAUUAAAAAGAUAAAAUCUAAGUACUUGAACAUAUUGAUAAACCUUAAUCUAAAACAUUAAAUAACCUGUUAUUUACAUAUCUUAGAUGUUGAAACAUAAUCAAUAACAUGUCAAAAUUGAUGAAAAUUUAACAUUUAGUUAUACUGUACUCAUAGUUGUAAGCUCAAUUCCACUUAAAUAAAAUGAAAAGAUAAAAUACAUCUCUUUCACAAAUCUAAAGUCUCUAUUUCAAAUAGAAUUCACCAAGAACAUACCUAAAGUAAAUGUAUGUUUUAAGCGGAGCAUUAAUAAAAUUUGAGAAAGGAAAACAAAAUAGCCAGUUUAUGUAAUUAAACCAAUCUACAGGGAUUAGGAGAUUUAAAAAUACAUAAUAGUUUAAGUGGGUACAUAUGAAAUUAUUUAUAUUCGAUUUUCCUGUUUAAUUCCACUCUCUUUUUCUUUCACAACUAUUAAACUCAAUUUGUAGUGGAUUUUAUAGAAGAUUCGGUUUAUGAAUUCAGCAUACUAGCCCAAAUUAAUCCAAAUUAAUUAGUUUUUAAGUUAAAAUAACAUUAUAUUAAUUUUUUUCUAAAUCAAAUAAAAUUUUAACCAUAACAUAAAUUCACCAUGUCAAAUUAGUUAAUAUCCGAGUCUUGAGUUGACUCAUCGCUUUUUCUUCGUAUCGUAAAUGACGGGAAAAUGAAUGUUCAGCGAAACAAGCUUCUAUGUGUACACAAUCUUCAACUUGUUUAACCAAACGUGAUUCAAAUGGACGGAAACCAAUCACAAACGAGUACGAGAAAACUUUUACAUGAUAUCUGGAAACCAAUCACAAACGAGUACGAGAAACCAAUCACAAUCUUCUUCCACUUUGACGAGAAAGUUCAACGUUUUCUGUUUAAUCUGGAAGGAUGUGCAUCGGGAAAAGUUCACGUGAGAUGAUUGCUGUCCAACCAGCUUAUCGGAAGCAUAGGAGAAGGAGUUCCUGUUUCGACAUUUUAAAAACAUUUUUAAAAAAAUUAAAUUUUUUUAAUAUUUUUAGAUCAUUCAUGUUCUGAUAUUAAAAAAAAUUAAAAAUAAAUAAAUUAUUUUAAUAUAUUUUAAAAUAAAAAUAACCUAAAAUCUACUUGUACAUGGAAAUUAACGGAAACGAAAGCAACGAAAGGCAUACUAGUAUGCGUAAGUUUUGCAAAUCACAGGAACUACGACAAAGAUUUAUUUCUUUAAGAAAGUACACGGCAAAAUCAUUGAUGUAAAAUAAGUUAGAUAUGGAGUUAGUUUAUUUUUGUAUUUUAAAAGUAUUUUUAAAAUAUUUUAUUUUAUUUUUUAAAAUUAUUUUAUUUUAUUUUGAAAUUGUUUUAAUAUGUUUAUAUCAAAAAUAUAUUUUAAAAAAUAAAAAAAUUAUUUUAAUAUUUUUUUAAGUAAAAAAUACUUUGCACUAUUACUAUGACAUCACCUUCAACAUCUUUAACAUUAUUUCUAACUACGUUCUUAAAGUGUUUCUUGGAGAAUAUAUAUAUAUCAUGCUAGAUAAAAUGGAAGUAGCCGUUCCCUGAUUUGAAUAUAAUCUCUUUUUAGAAGAAAUUUCAGGUUUGAUCUUUAGUGAUAUUGUAUGGUUCUUGAGAGUUUUUGUGAUGUAAGAUGGGUUUUGUCAAAGGCUCAAGAUCUAAGGCCGACAUUGAUCUCUCUGAUGACUGGUUCACGCAUUUAUUGAUUUGCUUCUUAAUACAAAAAUAGGUGCUUCACUUGUGUUUUCAUGAUUUCGAGAAUUUUUUAGCUAAAACCUGCUUUUUGAUUGAUUUCUGGACAAAAUAGGUUCAAAAAUCUGCUUCACUCUCCACCCACUAUUUUCCUUUUUUUCUUUAAUUGGGCUUGAUUCAAAAAUUGCUUUGUAAAACAAAUGUGGUUCCCAUGCAUGCAUUUUGAAAAUAAAAGUGGAAUGUUCAUGAGCUUUUCUUGAGUUCUAAAGAAUGAAAAUGAGGUCUGCAUAUUGAUGCAUUUCUGAUUCAUAAAAAUGCUAACGUGAAAUGUAUGGUUCCAACUCACGGGUUCAAGGAGAAAGUAGAUGACUAUCUGCAUAGUCCACCUAUCAAGUUACCCUUCUCCAAAUCAAGAAUCUUAAUUAUCUUAAGGCUUGUUUGUUUGUUUGCAGGAAUGUAGUUUUUUAAUUUAAAGUGAUUUUAUUGAAAAAUAAAUUCCUAAAAAGUAAAUUAUUUUUUAAUAUUUGAUAAUAUCAUGGAAAAUAAAUUGAAAAACACUUUUCAAUAUUUAACUAUAUCAUAAAAAAUGAGCUAGAAAAUAAGUUGUUAAUAUUUUUUUUUCAAAUUUAUUAAAAUAAUGAAGAGCAAAUCUUACAAAUUAAAAAGUUGAAUGAGAAUAAAAUUGAAAAAAAAUCUAAUUUCAUAAAUUAUCUCAAAUAAAAUAAAUAACAAUCAAAAUAAUAGAGAUCAAAUCUAACAGAUAAAAAAGUUAAAAGAUGAUGAAAUUAAAAAAAAUUACAAUUUCAUAAAUUAUUUCAAAUAAAAUAAAUAACAAUAAAAAAAAUGAGGAUCAAAUCUGAUUGAUAAAAAAUUUUAGUUAAGAAAAUGAUAAGAGAAAAGCAAAUAACAAUAAUAAAAAUGAGGAUCAAAAUUGAUAUAAAAAUCAAAUUCUAAGGGAUGAAAUUGAAAAAAAAAAAUCAAAACAAAAUAUACAGCAAUCAAAAGUUUGAGGAGCAAAUUUGAUAUAAUCAGCAAAUAACAUGACAUUUUUAAAUUUUUUACAACUUCUGGAAAGUAUUUUCCGCUCAAAAUAAAAGCAAAAUAUUUUUCUGAAAAUCAAGUUAAAUUUUUCUUUGACUGGAAAGUGUUUUUCGUUGAUCAACUUUUUUAAUGACAAACAAAUAAAGAAAGUUUGGAAAAUAAUUUCUAGAAAAACCACUUUUCGUAAACAAACGAGAUCUAAGUGAUAUUUUCCAUUAUAAAUGUACGACAACUCCAAUUUAUAUUAAAAAAAAAAAAAACAAAUUGGUUGUGGAUUAUAUUAAAAUAAAUAACAAGACCGGGCUAUGACUGGAACCUUAAACAUCUCAAGUCUUUAUAUAUAUAAACUCCAAUAGUUAUAUUAAUAUAUAUAUAUAAACUCCAAUAGUUAGAUUAAAAUCCACUCUCCUCAGUAGCGUUUUAUCAAACAUCUUGAACCAAACAUAACUCCUCAUUUAUGAUGAUUAAUAUGCUGUGUAAAGGAAGGGAAAUUGAAGGAGUUCAUCGGAUACUUUAUGAUGAUUAAGCAUUGUUGAGUUCCAAGUUGAGGCAGGAAUUAAAUUUAUAAAUGAAACCUCUUAAACUUUCUUCUAAGCUUCUUCCUAAAUGGUGUUAAAAACCAAUCUCGUUCGUCACAGAAAUAUUUCAAAUGGAGACACAGAAAAGUCAACCAGAAAAACAGCAAUCAUCUGCAUCCCUGGAUCCUGCUGUCACUUCAUGUCGUAAAAAGAAGAGGGACGAUGCCACUUUUUUGGAGGAUGUGAAGGAUCACAUCGAUGAGUUCAUUCAUGCGUCUAUGGAUGAGCACAAGUCUUGUUUUACGAAGACAAUCAAGAAGGUUUAUUCCCACUUUUAAGUUGAAUGUUUAAUUGCUAAUUGCCAAGUACCAACUGACAAAUUUAUUGUGUAAAUCUCCGAGUGCGUGUGAACUGGUAGCUGACCUAACACUUGGUUUAUUUUCAGAUGUUUGGAAUGUCAGACUGUUGCUGAGAGGAGUGCUGAUGCGAAGGAAGUUGAAAGUUCUCUGCCUCUCCGAACUGUAGUGGCAGAGUAGAAUGUCUUCUCCCGUACUGUAAAUUUGUAAUAGCUCAUGAUGCUAGUUUGAGUUAUGGUUUAGAAAUUUGUCAUAGAAGAGUUGCGACAUCAGUAUUUAGUGCAGCUUGUUAAUUUCACAUUACUCUGUUCAGUUUUGACUUUUGAAGUUCGAAUUCUACGAGGACACCAUCUUAGGACUUUUUAUUUCAUCCGCCCCCUCAAAGGGGUUUUCCCAACUCGGAAGAGCGAACCCUUCAAAUAGUGCUUCUUUAUGGGUUUCUCUGUUUUUAUCAAGACAAACCAGUUCCAGUCUUGUUGCCUUAGUUUCCUUUCCUUUCAUUCUCUCUCUCAAUUCUUAUUAGACACAUCACCGUUUCCCUCUAAAAUCAUGGGAGUUUUACUUUUCAGCUCUGGGAGCCUAACCUGAAGCUUGAACCCUGAUGGUCAAGCAAGAUCAUUUCUGACCACGAUACCUAUCUCAGUUUAAUGUUUACCUCCUACUAUGAUAAUUAUGGAUAUGACUCAGCUGUAAGUAGCAGUCUAAUUGAGCAGGGCUUGUACUUCGGGCUACUUAGAAUUUCAAGUCGCUCCGAAUAGAGCUCGUGCACAAGCAAGCAAAACAGGUGCUACCAUCAAAAUGGAAAAAAUCAGGCAAAGGUUUGAGGAAAAAUGAAUAGGGAACAAAAGAAUACUAGUGAAAUAGGGGAUUGGUCGGUCUGUCGAGAUGAGGUAAGGUACACCAUUCUCCAGGAAGCGAAGGACAGAACAUGUUUCUGAGCUUUGUGAAAAAAUGUGGAACUCUGAUUAGUUUCUUCGGACAGCCCACAAUUGGAUACAAAAUUGAGAAUACUAUCACUGAGUUGUUUUUGAUAAACGAAACAAUCGGUUCAUUAAAUAAAUAAAAAAACAAAUUAAAAAAAAACAAUUAAAAAUUAGAAGAUUGAUGAAUAGAGGAGCAUAAAAACAGAAGAUAAAAAAGAAGAGAAGAGAAUUAGUAAACCUUCAGAUGUGUAAUCAUCACAAGGCUCAAAAGGGAGUCGAUAACAAGUAACUGCAGAGAGAGAGGUAUGAAGAUGAAAGACGAGCAGUAAACGAGUUUCGAUUCAGAUUGAAAACUAAUAUAUAAUUUAAACAAAGGGCAUCAUGAUUAUCCCCUCAGGCUUUCGUUUCCACAUGUUUCUCUUCUUGCCGCUUCCAGUCUUUCUCUUACAUAUCCUCUCUCUCGCACACCACUGCGGUCGCUCCCUUUCUUAUCUAUCAGGUAAGGAAGACGGAGCCCGUCUUCUUUAUAUCGUUAGGGUUUUGGGAUUUUCGGUUUUCUCCUCUUCUUUCAAUUUUUACCCCCAACAUAGACGGGGUUGGUACUUGGUGGAG
This 46294-nucleotide long non-coding RNA is filed under the name Populus trichocarpa (black cottonwood). Its description in RNAcentral is "long non-coding RNA (PTRI_LNC001589)". The record is from RNAcentral. Lineage: Eukaryota; Viridiplantae; Streptophyta; Magnoliopsida; Malpighiales; Salicaceae.